RNAcentral lists this long non-coding RNA (55365 nucleotides) under Spirodela polyrhiza (greater duckweed). RNAcentral's name for it is "long non-coding RNA (SPOL_LNC001114)". The record is from RNAcentral. Lineage: Eukaryota; Viridiplantae; Streptophyta; Magnoliopsida; Alismatales; Araceae.
GGAUCAGACCAGACAAACCUGUGUGCACGUAUACAUAUGUUAAAAGAGGGGGCGAGAGAGAGAGUUGAGACACUUUUAACAUAUGCCACUCUGAUCGUAUGUACAUAACUAUAGGUAAGUAUCUAUGUAUACCUGUGUGCACGUAUACAUAUAUAUAUAUACACACCGAGGGGGAAGGGGGGGGGGGUGCAUGUAUGAGUGAAGGCGGUCCCUCUCCAAGCUCCAGUCUGUACAAAUAGCAGGGGGUCUGUAUACAGGAAAGAAUGAGCAAGCAGCCUGUACUAACGAAGCCGGUCGGGUCCCGAAUGUAUGCACCAGCGGACCAUCUCCCCCUUUCCCUUGCUCCCAGCCGCACGGCAGAGGAGAGAGAGAGAGAGAGAGAAGAAAGCUGAUGGGGCUGGUUUUCAAAGAAGAAGGAAAGAAAGAAGGAAUGAAAGAAGGAAUGAAAGAAGGAAAGAAAGAAAGAAUUCAUAAUAAAGGGGAUUGAUUCACCAGGGGGAGAGAGAGAGAGAGAGAGAGAGAGAGAGAGAGAGAGAGAGAGUAGUAAGNNNNNNNNNNNNNNNNNNNNNNNNNNNNNNNNNNNNNNNNNNNNNNNNNNNNNNNNNNNNNNNNNNNNNNNNNNNNNNNNNNNNNNNNNNNNNNNNNNNNNNNNNNNNNNNNNNNNNNNNNNNNNNNNNNNNNNNNNNNNNNNNNNNNNNNNNNNNNNNNNNNNNNNNNNNNNNNNNNNNNNNNNNNNNNNNNNNNNNNNNNNNNNNNNNNNNNNNNNNNNNNNNNNNNNNNNNNNNNNNNNGGGGUCGUCAAAUCAAGGGUUCGUCAAAUGCCAUAUCUCUCCGCACGAUCGAAGACCAUGAAAUGCAGUGAGCCGUCUCAAGAAAUUAACUGGGAAGGAAGGCAAGAGAAGCACACAGACGGACUCGAAAACAGCACAUAGAAAAGAAACCCAGGCGGGAUUAUAUCUUGCGUGGAGCAUGGAUCCAAAUUUCAUAGGAAUUACAGGUUGGGCGAAAGUCUCUGUCAUCAGGAUCCACCAAGUGUUGCGGCAGAAGUAAGACCCAGUUUAGAUCCGGCUACAUUUAGAUCGAAGUGAAGUUCAUAGAUGAACCAUUUUUCAAGUUUCGAGCAUCACCAUUAACUGGAAAAAUAAACAGAGCAGGGGGGAAAACAACAGAGUCUGGAAGAUACCCUAAGCUGCUGACGGACCACCGAUUUCUCACUCUGGUUUACGUCUCAUAAUUUGAACUAAAAUCGGACACAACAAUGUUAAACCUCUUCUCCUUUCAGCGGUGGGGAAGUCCUCUAAACGUUCAAUUCACAAGAACAGGUCCCCAACACAUCAGCCCAAGAAAACACUUUGCCAACCAUUAAAAUGCCACGGAAAUUGACAGCUCCCGAAAAGCAUAACUGAGCGAUAAACCAAGAAAAGUAGACAAUAUCCAAGAACCUUCUAUCUGCCAUCUACAAUGUCGUUCUGAAAGGUUUGCUUCAAAAAAAUUUCAUACCUUUCAUCAUCAAAAAAUUUGCAGAUAUUGCAGAAGUAUUUAGACAUUGACAAUCCCUCACAAGAGGGUGUCCUGCAGGUCGGCCCAACUGGCUGAACGUUUAAGCAGCGCAUACACAUCAUUUCAGUCGUGGCUUUCCUGUAUCACAAAUAGGAUCAGCAACUGCAACCACUUUCUGGUCAGAACAAAAAACAGAUACGCUACCUGUCCAUAGAAUGAUCGCUGACUUUAUCAUGACAGAAACGGCAAGUGAAUAGCUUAUUGCAACAAGCAGCAACUAGUUUACAAUUUCGUUUGUAAUGUUCACAGCCAAACACUUUCUUCUCUGGAUCUCGAUAUGAGGGAGAGCAUCCAAACAAAGUUCCAUCUUUUCCGUUUUCAACUGAUCUUGUCUGAGGCAACUUUUGCUGAGCUGCUAUCCAUCGGCUACAAUAAAUAAAGUCCAAAUUUAGUUGUACAAACUAUGGAAGACCACUCCGUGUCUCAAAAAAUAAGGAGAAAAAAAUUAAUAUAUAGAACUCAAAUAAGUCAAGACAAAUCAUUUCAUUUUUUACAUAAAAAUACCAUUUUGAAAGUAGCUCAUGCCAUGGAAUCAGUCAGCACGAAAACGAACAGGGAUAUGCAAAACAAAUAUAUAAUUACGCCGAUAGAAAGAAUCACAAAAUAAACCUUGUCAUAAGAUUUUGAAUGAGGUAUGCUUUUCUCCGAGGAUCAAGCGUUGGAUCCUGAGAAACUCUUCGUAUCUCUGACUCAAGUUCACUCUGAUUCAUCCGAAAGAUGUCCUUCCAGCCCGGUUUGAACAUCUCAUCUGUUUGGUCUAGAAUCUCUUGGAUAUCAGCACCUGAACAAUCAAAACGGAAAUUAUUAUUGCAAAAACUGGGCAACACAAAAACCAGCACCUUCAAGUUAUUGGCCAACAAGAUAACUAUACAUUACUAUUUACUCCUACGAUUCCCCCAUUGGUGAGGAAACUAUGAAAGACGUGAAUAAUAGACAUAAUUUCUUUUUAAAAACGAAAACAUAAUGUUAACAGGAAACCUUUCGGGCUUGUGUUACAUUCUGUUGAAACCUGCGAAGGAGAGUCAGGAAUUUCCUUCCACCAUUCAUUAAGCCAUUCAUUGAACAUAGUAUUUUUUGUUGCCUGCCUCCACGUAUCCAUCAUUUUAUUCUGUUCCUCUUGAGUAAGCGCAGAUGUUACCCAUGGCAGCAUUGACUGGAGCACUUCUGCACCUGUUGUCCCAAUUAUGCGACCAACAAUUUUGUUUUGUUCUUCCACAGAAAAAUGCUUAUCAAACAAUGGCCAUAACUCAAGUUCUUCCCUGAAAACAUGCUGAUCCAGUGUGACUCGAAUGGAUUUGCACAUGCCUUGAAGCUUUGUAGCUAGUUCAUUAUGCUUUUGUAUCCAGUCAGUAUCAUCAAGUGAAGAAGAAGAAUGCUUGACACAGGCUCGUUCACUGGAAGUAGACAAGCUUAAGUUUCCAUGAACUUGUGAAAAUUCCGAAAGAACAAUAGAUAUGUCUUCAAAUAGUUUCUCCUCUUGUUUGUGGUCAAGGGUGUACGAGUGGCUCACAUUGUGAAGGGCCUCCUUGGAUUCUAACGCUGGAAAAACAAUAUCAUCUUCAGCAUUACUGUGAGCUCUAUAUAGACCCCGCAGCAGACGAAAUCGUCCACUGAACUGCCGCAGAAAUGUUUCAUCACAACCUAUAAGCUUUCCAGACUCAACAUCCAAAUACUCCAAGUCUUUACGAAUUGCUAUAUGAAACUUGAAGAUGUUGUCAAUAGGCCUCAGUGUCUGCCCAGAGUCAGAUGACAUGAUAUCAGAUUCCCAGAAAAGACUUGAAUUAAAAGAUGGAACCGAGGAAUUGUAAGACAAGGAUCGCAAAGAUUUUCUAGCAGAUAGCGCCGUCAAUGCAGGGUUGUUGUUAUUGACUCCUAGUCCAGGGACACAACAAGACCGUUUCAUGUUCGCUGAGUGCUCAGAUGCACCUGAAUUUUCCCUUGAAUCCAAUAGAUUACAUCGUUUCUUUGGCCUCUCUUCAUUGUCUUUCAUUAGAUAUGAUGAUGAUGCUCCCUUAGUGCUUAAUAGACAAGGACAUGCACAGAAUACUUGGCUACAGUCUUCUUCAAUGUCCUUGGCAGGAGAACAGUCGGCAAUGCUAUUUGAAGACAGGCAAUGGAACCUUCCAGACCCACAAAAAUCACGUUGACGACCUUUGCAUGCCCAACCAGAUAAAAGUGUAACCAGGGGAGUGUCAGAUGCCGAAGCUGCAGAUGAUUUCCACUUGUGAGAUAUCAGCACAAAAAGCAUUAAAAAACUGCUUCAUUCUACAAAUAGGCUAUUUGAAAAGACACACACCUGCCAUCCUCAUAUUCUGAAGAAAGGACUUCCCAUCCUCCACGCUAAGUGAUGCUACCAACCAUGGCAAAACGCGCUCUAAUAAUUUCAAGGGCAUCACGCAUAUACUCUUGUAUAAAAGUUCUCUCUGUUUCUUAGGGCUGAAGUGUAAUCUGGCAAGGGGUAGAACCUACAGAGAGGAAACAAAAAUAAAGGUUCUACUUUCAUUUUUCCAUGGGUAAGAGAAAAGGUCAAUUUAUGAUACGCUUACAUUAGCUUCCUCAUUGCAGAAGUGCUUCUGGAUGGUGUCUAUUAUCUGAUCAGCAUGCAAACACAGUUUCGAAUGGAAUUCCGCAGAAGAUGAGUUUGCACCAUCAUUCUGAAUGGUCUCUAUUACACACCUAAAUUUGUUAAACUGUCUUUCUUCUUCGGCAUGUUCGUGUGCAAAUGAGACCUCCCCAUCCACUGCUGGAAAGAUAACCUGGUCCUCAGCAAUGCUGUAUGUAACACCAUAUGCAGAAGGAAAAUCAAGGAGAUAUAUCAUCAAGUAGAGAAGAUAAACGUUCAAAAUAUGUUAGCUAAACCACAGACUCUGCAACACACAAGAUGUCUGACAUCCACGUUCUCAGAAAACAGAAUAAGACUGGUGUAUUUUGGGGACUUGACAGAAGAUUUGGCAUAAUUAUUGAUAAAAAAAUUAGACAACAAUGUUGCAAAAUAAAUGAUUCUCAAAAAAAAUUUCUCUGGUUUUCUUUUGAUCAAGAUUUUAAAAGAAAAUACGUUUUGAAAUUAAAUAAAUGGAAGAAACUUAUUAAGUAACAGCACGGUCAUACAUACCUAUGAAAGAUGCACACAUCAGCAAUGAAUUGCAGUCUUGCGUUAAAGGCUGAUAGAUCUUUGAAAUCUUGAGAAUGUUCUAUCCUUCUUGCUUCCUUCGCAAUAUCAUCCAACUCCUUUUUAAUAGCACUAUGCCAAUGCAAUAUGUCGUUUAUUGGUUGUGUUCCACUUGUAUCAGCACCACUGCAUUCAGAACAAAAAUGUUUCCUCUUUCCAGCGCGUGAAAAUUCACAGGCACAUGCUUCCUUUUCAAUAUCAUCUGUUUGCCCUCCACAUUCAGAAUCAAUACAGAACAAGUGCAGAGAACUAUCUUCAACGCUUGGAGACCUUGUUGAUGAAUGUUUGCCUUCCAUCCAAGUGAAAAUUACCUUCAUGUUUCAUAAUUUUUCAUCAGCUACUUUUGUUUAUGACAUAAAGCACUUAUCUGAAAUCUUUAGUUCGAAUAAACAAGGAGUACAAAAUGCGAUAUAAAAAGUGUCUUAAACGGAAUUACUAGGAGAUUUCACAUCCAACAAAUUUACACCUGUUGAAGAAGCUUUUCUUCUGGAACUAUCUUUUGCAGACACCUCUGCAUAUCUUCACGUUCUACAGGCGAAAUAGAUGACGAAAGCCACGGGAGAAACUCUGCCAUCAUGUUCACUGGGAUGCUACAUAAGAACUGCCAUACCAAUGCAGCCUGCUCUUCACAUGAAAACUUUUCAACGAGAAGGGGAAAAACCUGUAACAGAAGGUAAAUGAAAAUUAUAAAAACAAAUUAUCAUAAAUGACAAAACAUAUGAAACCAAUUCAUGCUAGGAACUAUGCAAACACUUAUCACCAACGGUUGUAAUAUCAUUAUUUGAAGACGAUAAUUCUGUAUCUUGACCUCUUUUUGAAGUGUAACAAGAAAAUGAAUACGAAAAGAUCAAACAGGCACAGGCAACAGAGGAUAUGACCUCAAGCUAGCUCAUUAAUGAACUAACUCAGCCAACCCACACAUUAACCUUCCUCUAUUGGUGAAGAAAAAGAGAGCUGUACGAGAAAAGUAGGAAUGGUUUAGCCAACCGGGCAUAAAAAAGCAAAUAGAGGUUUUAGAAACAAUUCUAAAAAUGAUCAAGGAAUCAAUCAGGCAUUGACAGAUGCAUAAACAUUUGGGCCGAGUAGGCUUCAUUUUAAAUAGAGCAAGAUCAAGUAAGACAGUAGCAUGCUGAUGUUCCUAUCAUGAAAUAUUGUUGGAGCUGUAGUUGGUGAAUGGGUAGCUUAGAUAUGACGAAGAGGGAUGUGCAAGGAAAAAGUUACCAGUCUUUAAUAGUCAAAAACUAAUUUUUUUUGAAAGGAAUAGUCAAAAACUAAUUAAUAAUAUAACACCAUAAUAAUUACAUCAGAUCCAUUUUGAAUAUUCAUAAAUUCACUUAGUAUCAAAAUUAAAAAAGCAUAACAAAAUAGCCAACAGCGGUUAGCACUUCGCUCUUCGAAAAUUGCGGAAAACAGGAAAAAGGAAACUUGCUAUGAGGAAAACAGCAGGCAGAAAACUCGCCAUAAAUUUCAGAGAAAGGAGCCAACGGCAGUUUCCACUUUUCUCUUCAAAAAUUAUUGGGCGAUAAUGGUGGAAAACGUAAACUCUGGGCAGAAAACUAGUCAUAUGGAGAGAUUGACAGCUAUAAGUUUCAGACACAUGCUUAGUUAUCAUAUUUAAACAAAAAAAUUGCAGAGGGUAAACUUAAUGAUUGCGUGCAGGUCCAACAAAUCCUCUAAGAUACAACGUUAAAAGGAGUUCAGGAAAAAAAUAAAAAGAUGUACAUGGUGUUUGGGAAGCUCAGCACAAGAUCCUUAUAAGAAUGGAUAGUACGUAGAAAACUUCCAUUUUUCUUUGUGACAAGACGGUAUCAAGUACUAAACAUUUCUUACGAAAGAAAGCUGCUUAUAUGCAAUGGAAUGCAUACAUUUAAACCAAAAAACAGUAACAAAUAAACAUUUGGUGCCAAGCGAGAGGAGACCAUUGAUAAAAUCUGUGUGGAUUGUAGGAUCAUCAAUCUGAUGUAGAAAAUUAUUCAUAAUGCAUUUAAAUGUGAAUAUUGGCUGAUAUCCGAUGCAUUGAUAUGCAGAAAGCAAAGUCGGGAUAACCUCCAAUAGAGCUCACUGAAAAGGAUCAAGGAGAGGAAAACCACAUCUUCAUAAUUUACGCCUCUAACCUAUUUGUCACCCUGUGGGAUGAGAUAACUUUUUACUAAGGGUAUUGUUAUGCUGUAUUGUAGAUUUUUAUCUUUACUUUUUUUGACGAGACCCUGGUUUGCUGAAAAUCUGCUUUUGGAGACCGUCUUAUACAUAACAACGGUGCUACUUACGCAGCAAUCUCAAAAGGAAUUUACUGAUUCUUAAGUCUGACAUUUGUUUAGUGGUUUCAGCUGACCAUCCUGUUUUCAUCAGUUAGAUUCAUCUGGAAAUAAAGUAUGGGAAUCUCAAAAGAGAAAUGGACAUGCCACCAGAAAAAUGCCAGAUUUCUAUGUUUUCGGUUAUCUCUCAAAAAUUAUGAAGAAAGUCAGAAGUCAGCAUGAAGACUUCACCUGAAGAUAGAUACUAAACAUAACUUCUAUGCUGCAAAUAAUGAAAUUAAAUCCAUAAGAAACAUGUGUAUAGAUAUCCUUUCAGUUUUGAAUGAAGCAUGCUGUACUUUACAAAUGAAAAACAGCAAAAAGAAUAACCUGCUCUUCUUCCUUUUCCAUAUGCUGGCUAAGUGAUGUAUGGAUGGCACCCGUGCAGGAUGCAAGCUCUCUGCGGAAAAUAUCACCAUUUUCCACAUCUGAAUUGAGCAGUUCAAACAAUUGCUCAAAAAGGUCAUUCUCCCCCUUAUGCUCAAGAGAAUAUGUUCUGGCAACAUUCUUCACACGUAUGUCAAGGGCUGGAAAGAUGACCUGCAAUUUUUGGACACUGGAGUUGUGAGGGUGAACUUUUCUUCUAUAAGAAUACUGUAUUAUAUUAUUGCGAAGCCCCAAAAUCAGCACAGUGAUAUAAUAACACCAUAAAGCUUUAUACAGAAAGGUCAUUUUCCUAUUAUUCAUGGGCCAGGUUAAAAAUACUGCCACUCAAUGUUAAGAAACAUUUUACAAUCCAUAUUCUUUUCUGGAAGCUAAAGAGAAAGGGACGUGAUAAGAGAAGCUUCGACAGAAGAAAACAACAAAAACACGACAGAGAUAAGCAACAUAUCAGAUCUGCCAAGUUGCAACCUUCAAGAGAGACUGGGUAACAAAGGAGAGAAGGGCUUUCCCUAAUUUAACAUCUGAAAAAGCAUUGGCUCUUCAGGAACAAAUAUUCUUGAAAGGGUCUUCAAACACAUCCUUCUCUUCAUGUUGUCCGUAACAUAGCAGGAAGAAGCAGCCAUCAAUCAACCAUUAAUUCAUUUCUGAAUUAAAUCGGAAUGAACUGGCCAUCAUUCCAUCAACCUAUAAAUUCUUUCAUCAUCUAUCCAAGAUUCCUUCAUUCAGGCUAAAUGACAUCAUGAUUUUUUAAAUCCCCAAAACUGACCAUGUGACGUUUCCAGAAAGGCAAUAAGCAUUAUAAAGGUUCCCAGAUAAUGUGUCAAUCCGCCUUCUGACUUUUGGUCCAAUAAUCUUCUAACUUGGCUCAAGGAGGAAGAAGUACAUGUGAGGUCCUCGCAUGUUUAGAACUCGGGAUAAAAACCAUUCAACCAGUCCACAAGUGGAGACGAUUUUCUUUCUCCACCUUUCAUUGAAGGGUGCCUAAUUUCCAUUAGUAGCUUCCAUUGGCUUCUCAGGCUAACAUCUUGCACCUGAUUUUACCCUUCCAUGUUCUGUUCGCAUUCUCAGUUUCAUUCAAGUAAAAGAUAUAAAACAGUUAAUAUCCAGAAACAAGAGAGUGAGAAAAACAAGAGAUAAUCUAUUCUCUACUCAAAGCUACUGAGUCGCAGGAACAAGUUCUUCGGAAUUGAAAGAUGAUACUUCUUCAUCUGUGAGAUUUCUACUUUUUUGAAGGCAAGCUUAGGAAUUUAAUCAGGGGAUCCUGUCAGCACAAGAUUACCCUUUGGUCCCUGUCUUUAUUUUUCGUGAAGGAUAAUGCCAAAUUUGACACAUUCACACAUGUUUGCACCUUCUGUAGAACAACAGCACUAAAAAUCAAAAUAUUAUUAUCAAAUAUAAAAUAUAUUAGGGUAAUGUCUGAAAGGGUCUAUUUACAUUGCAGUAAACUCCGUUCAAUCAAAACAAUAUUGUUCUCUCGAUCAGGGAAUCUAAUAUAGAAGAAAGUGUUAAAAUACAGAAUUCAGGAAUACGAAAGAAUCUGCUAAAUGAAAACUGAAGUUUAAAUCAGCAUCCUGAGAACGAAUUCUCAGCAAACAAAACAAUUAGUAAGAGCGCCCUUAAUUGAUCAGGUUGAAUAAUAAGAGACUGUAUCAUCCCUCUCACUUCAAAGUCUAGUCUGGGAAACUGGGUUCCUCAAAGCUUAAUAUCACCGACACAUAAGGAUCAUUCAACUCACUGAUCAGCAUAAAAAAUGAGAAACAAUUUUCUAUUCUACUUUCUCUUCAAGAACUGCAUGGAAACGCGCUAAAGCUGAAAAAUCUUGCCCACUGAUGCAGAAACAUAACUGAGAAAUCAGCUCCCAAAGAUCUGCAAAAAAAGGCCCCACGUACAGAAGCUACCAAGCGAGAAGAUUUGGGGAGUUGAGCAGAAUAAGCAAUCAAACUAGACAAGCAAUCUUCACUUGCCCGAAAAUCUCCAGGGGAUAAAACAUAUUGACUACAGCUCAAAUUCAACUGGAAGGAAAGAAAGCGAGUCUUUAGGGGCGGAGAGCCAAUAUCAAGGAAACCAAGCCCCAAUUGUCUGUUCCCAAAUCUUGGAAACAGGAAACAACAAAACCAAAAAGAGAGCGAUUUGGAUCGACGAGACCCCUAGAGAGUGGUAACCAAACAGAUAAUCCAGACGCACAUAUAACACAAUCACUGGAAUCAAGCUAUAUUCUCCCGAAUUAUUCCACGACGACGAGACGUACCUCGUCCUCCGCAUUGCAGUGGUGCUUGUAGAUGGCGAGCAGGAACCGACAUCGAUCAGCGACCGCCCGUACGUCCCCUCCUCGGUCGGUAGUGGCCAGGGCGACGGCCGCACGGUGGAGCCGCUCGAGCUCGGACCGGAUGGUCUUCUGGAAGAAGAGGAAUAUCAGGAUCGGCGACUCGACCGCCGACCUCGCCAGGCACUCCCCUGGCGGAGCGGCAGCCACCGGUGAGGGAGGAGGUGAAGAGGCCCCAGACGACGCUGAAGAGGGCUCCACGGAGUCCAGCGGACCCUGCGGCAUCAGCGCGAGCACCCCAUCUCCCGUCAACGGCGUCGCCAUCUCCCCCCGCUAGGCCUCCUUCUCAGGCCUCCUCCCGCCGCCGAGAGCCUCCUCCCCUUCCACCGGCGCUCCGCCCUCCGCCCUGCGCCGCCAGCCAAUGCCGUGGAGCUUCUUCUCCCUCCCCAACUCUCCCUCCUCUCUUCUCCUCUCUCUCUCCGCCCAGUUUUCCUCUAUCCAUCCCCCCCCGCUCCCACCCUCUUUCUCUCUCCUCUGCUCCUCCCCUUGAAGAAUUUCCUCCAUUUUUCAAUUUGUAACGGGCGUUGACGGAAGUACCAGUCACCGCCGGCGGAUACGUGGAAGGAUUGAGACGUGUACACGUCAGCCGGCCCGCUGCUCGGGCCCAUCUCCGGCACGUCCUCCCUCCACGUACCCCACCCCGCCUGCGAAACUAAAAAAAUAUAAAAAAAAUACAGGCAAGCACGAAGCAAGCCGACAACGCCUCCUCGUCCGAGAAGGGUGGUAAAACCGUGGUUAUGGAGCCUCGAGUGGGGCCCACCGCCACACACGGAGGCGGCACGACGGGAGGCGCCCUACCUCGGGCCGGCACGUGGCCGCGCAUUCCCGCACACGCCCGCCCCGAUCUGACGUCGACUUGACGGCGUCCGAGUCAUCGCGACGAACGGUAAGUACGCACUCCCCCGAAGCCGAGCCAUCACUAAACGGCGGCGUUCGGGCCAGGACUGGGCCGGGCCGAGUUCUGGGCCUUGCAAGCGUGUACCCGGUGAGCUAAGAGAGGAGAGAGAGGGUGGAAAUUAUCUUGUUUUGAGCCCGGCCCACUAGCAGGGCUCGGCGUUCGCCUUCUCUUUGAGGAUGGACGUAUAGUCGUAAUCUGAUGACGACCGACCACAGAAGAGAAGGCUGUUGGAGGACGAGUCAGAGAACACGGAGUAGACCCCCCGCCACGUCAUCAUGUCCUACCCGUCUCCCCCGGCCGUGGCCCUCCCCCAGCCACAGCCCAGCUGGCCGGGCUAUCGGUAAUUUAUCCAAGGGAGCGCCGACAUAGCGGGUCCCGUGGGAGAAGGCAUGGUCUUCGCCAGAUGUCAACUCUGGACAGGAGAGUCCGGCGUUGACAAGAAGUGAGGUCCAUGGCCGUUCUUCAACCCCACUGCCCAAAGAGAGGAGUAGAACAGAAAUAGGAUAAUUAAAGUUGUUCAAUGUUCUAAAUAAUUCGUCAAUCUGAAAUCCAGAAUAACCACAAGCAAAAUCGGAUCGCCGGGAUAUGCAUCCUUGACUGAGAUUGGGGGGACUCGGCGGGCUGGAUGGAUCAAAAUAAAGGUGGUUGCAGCAUUGACUACCGCAUCAGCUGUUGUUGACGUCUUUGAUGGAUUCUCUAAUGAAGAGGUACAAACCCAGUAAUAAGAAAUGGUUGACCCAAUUCUACCACGAUCCACACGUUUCAGAGGAAUCGUAAAAGAAAAAAUCAAGUGAGAUUGGCGAGUCUGGACCACCCUAUUUUUGAAAGAAUUUAACAAGUCAAUGAUCUCUCCCUACAUUUAUGGUCAAAUUUUUAAUGAAAUAGAGCAUAUUGGGGCACCCCCUUGUGGAUAUAAGGAGCUAGAUGUAUGAUUCUUGACUCCUACAGCUCAUGGGUCAAUAAUAUUGGACUGAUGAAAGCCUCAGUUUGCAAGGAAUACAACUUGUGAAAAAUAAAAUCCCAGUCCACAAGGGUCAGCACCUACAUAUUUUUGAACUUUUGUUGUUUUGUUUCUAAGUUAAAUAAAAUUUCAUUUGAAAUGAGUUGGAGACGAUGUUGUGGAAUAAUCAUGCAAAACCCAAAAAGUAGAAGACUCCAUUAAUCAGAAAAAAAAAGAUCAUUAAAAGUUCAUAAAUUUCAUCACUCAACUCUCCAAUAAGGUAAUUAGGUGGUGAAAAAUUUUGUACCUCACCUUCUUGAGAAAUGUUGUACAAUGUGUUUCUUAUUUAUCAUGGUUUUGGCCCAAUCCAUCUUAUCAUUCUAGGUGGCUAGCAUAGUGUUGAGUUUGAGAAGGAUGCAAGAUGAGACAAUAGAGAGGAGCAAGAUGAACUAUCAUAGUGUUGACUUUGUCUAUUCUAUAAAUUACUCUUUGAUUGGUCAUUUUAAAUCCAAGUUAUGUUACUUGGACUACUCCUUUCUUUGAGGACCUUGUUCUUGGAUUCUACUAAAUCAAUAUGUUGUAAUCUUUGAUCACAAUGGCUUCAUUCGUCCAAACUACACUAAAUUUUGCCACUCUAGCCAAUCUAAAUGUCUCCUUUAAAAUACUUCUUCCACAUUCACAUCUCUAGGGAACUAAGAAUAUUAUAACCUCUUCAAUGUCACAACACUUGGGUGAUGAAAUAUUAUAAUUACUCAACAACAAGUUAAGAACAACAUCUCUCCCUUGAAAAUAUAAAGAUACACCCCCAAGUUAUGCAAUUGAUCUUCUAGUCAUGUGUGACUUUUCUGAAAAUUAGAAAAAUACUAUGCUUGUACCUUUCUAAUCUCUCGUCACAAGUAUGUCAAUAUAAAUUUGUCAUUGUAUCCUUAUGGUUAUUUUUUCAUCCUCAAAAUUAUACUCUUCAAAAUCCAAUAUGUGGCACACUUCAUUUGAGCUUUUCCUUCAGAGUUCAACAAUCUUUUCCAUAGUGACUUGAGAAGGCUUUGUAAGGUCAAGAAAUAAAAAAAAUAGGGGAGGAAAAUUAAUUUUUUCUGGUAAAUGAUAUAUAAUUUUUAGUUUCCUUAUUAGUUAAUACUAACCAGCUGAAUUAGCCCACUAUGCCAACUUAAAAGUGUAAAAAUAAGAACCAAAGGAUUAUAUUAUUUUGUCACAUCAAGCCUACUCUCCAUACACAUCAUCCUUAGGCUUCACCAACUCUUGGUACUACAAGUUACCAAACACUAAGGUUGACUCAACUAUUGAACAAACAAUUAUUUAGAUCAAUGGCUCUAUGCAAUCAAACUUGAUAGUAUCUAAUACAUCUAUUAUAAUUUGGAAAACUCUUUGUCAGGCCAAGUAUUUAAAUCACUCAAAUAGAAUAUGGAAAUAACUUCUUUGAGCUUGGAGACAUGUGCCUAGAUAUAUAUAAACAUCUUUUUUAGAGCAGUUUUCAAUAUUCAUGACUAAUAUGAGUAAAUUUUCUUUGUAUAGAAUCUAUAAUUAGGUGUUGGAGUGGCUAAUCUUUUUCAUAUGACAACAUUCUCCUCAAGUUGAAUGCUUGGAACAUUUGAAAUUCAACUUCGAAUAGCCAUUUUAAUGGCUAUUUAUGAGCAACACAAUGGCCUGUAAUGUUAUAGAACUUUCAUUUUUCUAUUUUUUUUAAUGUAAUAAUAAGGUUCACUACAUGAGCCUUCUGAACACCAAAAUAACUUGUCUUAAUUCACUUCUUACAAGGAAAUAAAAAAUAAUUUUUUAUAAAAAGUAAAUUAUAAGUACCUUAAAGAAAUUUUUACCAGCAAGAAUUAAAUAUCACCAAUCUAUUAGAGGUAAUGAAAAUGAACUUUUGAUAUAACAUCACCACUAACCUUUAUGUAAUGAAUUGUUCAUAUGAAAGAGACAAGUGACUUCAUACAAGGAUGUGAAGCUACAAACUUUGUAACUGCAAAUCCUAGAUACCCUGAAGAUUUUGUGAAAUGUUAUUCUAAGAUUUUUCCAAUCAAUCAAAUAUCAUAAACACAGAUUGAUAAUAUGAUUUACCAUUAUACCCUAACAUAAUGUCCUAGUCCGUCUAACUAUAAAGUUCUUUUUCACCAAGUCAGUCGACUCAAUCAUAAAUCAACUAAGCCCUCUUGGGGGCUCAUUUAAAAAUGAAAAGGAUAAAUAUUAAUGAUAAUGAUAUUUUCUACAUAAUGAAAUUCUCAAUUAAUGGGGAAAUAUUUCCAAAUCAUUUUCCAAUAAUUGAAUCCAUCAUAAAUGGAAUAUUAUGAUAAAUCAUUUACUUAAAUUUUCUUAAUUGAAUUUACAUCAAGAAAUUUUAUAGAGUUUGCCAAAAAAUUUUCCACUCAAAAUGACCUUACAUUUUAGGUAAGCAUUUAUUUUCAUUCUCAUUGUUGCAUAAUCUAGUUCUUUGAUUUAAUAGAAGUAGAAAAAUUUGAGCUUCUUUACUAGAGUUUUUAUUUGAUUUUGUAAUUCACUAUUAAAUGUGUGUUUUUUUAAUAUAUUUCAUUGUAUCAUUUCUGAAAUAGUUGAUUGAUUCAUCUAUUGAAGAAUAAGAAUUUUCUGGCAAAAGAAAAAUCCAUUUUUCUAGAUAUGUCUAAGAGUAAAUUAAAUUAAAAAAUAUGCUAAAAAUAUCCCUUUUUUUGAACUCACCAUACCACAGAAAAAUUGGAACGUCUAUCCCAUGUUCUAUCAAGGAUAAUUUAAUAACAUAUAUGAGUGUCAACAAUCAAAAACUUUACAUUUUGUUUGAACCGAAGGAAGGAUGGGUACAAAUAACUCUUUAAGUAAGAAUACAAAAUGAAAAAAUUUACAUUCAUAAUAAAUAAAAAUAAAAAUUGAAACAAUCAUUUUUCUAGUCAAUUUUUUUUACUCCAACCAUUUUUCAAGAAUAAGAACAAAAUGAGGGGUAGACACCCUAAGUUAAAGGAUAACAUGUUUGGGGGUAUGAUAUCUAGCAAAAAGAAGAAUUGAAUAGGGAAGCCUUAUUAUUUUUUUUAAUCCCAUUUUUAUCUAUAUUACAUGGUUUGUGUUUUCAUGAUGAAAAAUGAUAAAAAAAUAGAAAAAAUGGUCAUAAAUAUGCUGAAUAAUGACUAGAUGAAUAUCUAAUUGAGAUAUUCAAUGUGUAGGAGUGUGAUAUCCGGCAGAAAGAAGAAUUUAAUAGGGAAGCUUCAAUUUUUGUUAAUUCCAUUUGUACCUAUGUUACACAGGUUUGUGCUUUCAUGAUGAAAAAUAUUAAUAAAAGAGAAAAAAUGGUCAUAAAUAUGCUAUUGCUACACUAAUGUUUAGAUGACUAUCUAAAUUUUGAGAUUCAAUAUGCUCAUUGUUUCUUCAAGAAUAAAUAGAAAAUGAAUAAUCAAGGUAGAGAUCUAAGAUAAUAAAAUUUAAAUCAAAAUAAAAAUAUUUUAGAAAGAAAAAUUAUUCAGUUGCUAUGUAGGUCAACCCAUGGGUUCACCUCGGUAAGUUGACAAAGUGAGUCAAUAUAACUAUCAUAAGAGUCAAACUCAAGGAAAAAUUAACAUGCCAUCCAUAAAAGUUUCUUUAUUUCAGCCAAAAGACAAGGUCAGACUUGGGAGACAAAAGUCAAGAUUAUGUUUAAGACUUCAAACAUCAAACAUCCAAAAUGUAGUUGCAAGUGCUAGAGCAUCUUGACUAUUUACAAUUCAUCCUAACAUAUCAAAGUAUCAAAAUCAGUCAAAUAAUUUCUCAAUUACACGUGUAAAAUGAUUUGGCCUAAACUUAGUCAAUCAAAUGUUUGAAUUAUAGACCUAGGUGAAAGACAAAAGAGAAGUGUGAAUUAGGGUUUUUACUAUUUUUUUUAAUAUUUGAAUUUAAGCUAGACUUAUUGAUAUAUGUCACAAUAUGUCUCUACAAAAAAAUAUAGUGAAAAUUUUUCUCAAAUCUUUUUCAUAAAGAACAUCAAGAUUUUUAUACUGGUUGACACUUCCUUCUAUUAUUUACUAAUUUCCUUCAGAUAAGACAUUGAUAUUCACAAUAUUGAUCACUUAAUGACCUCAAAUUUUAUCUACUCAUAGACUCAAUCCUUUUCAAACCAAACUUGGAUACUAGAAUCUCAUAGCUUCGCACAAAACAUUCUUUCAUCAUCACCCAAAUAUUUUAGAGCUUGAUGUAGAGCUAGAAUGAUGAUGGUGAAGCUACUCAUUAUGUUGAAUUAGUUGGAGAAGAUGACAUAGUGUUCUUGCACAAUGAUGAUUUGUGUGGCAUAAAAAAAUUGAUAUUUAGCCUUGAAUUUUUUUGCAUUCAACUUUAUUUCUAUUUAAAAGAAAUCUCCCAUAAGUAAGUCUUCGUCUUUUACUAAAUUCUUAAUUUAGUAGAUCUUCAAGGUUAAAAAACCUUGAUAAAAAACUUUUUUUUCUAAAACACAUGACAAUAACCUUUGAAAUUUAUAAUCUUCAUAUUUCUCUAUUUUCACAUCUUUUCAUUUAAAUUUUAAUUGUAGUUUCCUAAGUUGGCAAAUAAUGAUUGAAUGUCUAGUAAAGAUCCAAAUCAUUAAAUUUAUUAAGAUUUUUAUCUAAGUAAGUAGUCACCAUAUCACUAUUAAGAUUUUAUAUUUGAUUCACACGAUAUUUUUUACCAUUUAACACUAUUUUUAUUCUUUUAUUUUAAGAUGAUUCUCUAGACGAUAUUCUUUAGUGGUCAAAUCUUCUUAAAAUAAAGAAUCAAAUAAUCUCAAAGAUCAAUGCCUUGGAUUGAUCGUUAGGGAUAAGAUCAUAUAACCAAUGGAAAUAUUUCAUACAAUAACUUUGCUGAAUAUAUUGAAUGUUUGGAACAUAUUUAUGACAUGUGAAUAACUAUCAAUAUUUAAUGAUAAAUUGAUCAAUGUACUUUUAAUUUAUAAUUAUAAACACUAAGGUCAUGAACAUCAGAUAGACUAAGUAUGUAGAAAACUCAACAUAAGGGUUGACCUAUAAAAUAGUUUAAUUUUAGGGUUCUAUAUAUUGCCAUCUCAAGAGCUUUUUAACAAAACUGCAGUGACACAUCAAGUCCAUCUAAUUACAUUCCAGUUGAACAUUCUCUUUCUAGUGCAAAUUUUGCAAUGUCCCAAGCCACCUCAAGUGUCCAAAAUUCAUUGAAUUAGGGAGAUGAUUUAACUAGCUAAAAGAUUGAUUUGUGAACAUCUGAUUCCUUGGAACUGUAUAUUAAAUGAAUAAAAAACCUUGCAUUUAUGUAUCUAGUAUUGGAUUUCUAGUCUUAUGGAUAUAUAAUGCUAUUCUCCUCUUGCAAAGGAAAAUGAAAAACGAGGUUAAGAAUACUUGGUAAGUAGACAUAGGCCAAGGAAAUUUAAACCUCUUUUCUAUAAUAUCUCUAAAGAAUUUGACUACAUGCAAUUGUAUGAAUGAAAUGAGUACAUAUUUGGAGAGUGUGAUAUAAUAAAUUUUGUAAGUUGUGUUUGGGGGGAGUCAUUAUCAAUUUUUUGCCUCUAAAUUGAUGGAUUGAGGCCCAAAAUGUAGUCCACAUAAUCUCUUUUGUACAGGUAGAUGUCUUAGAUACCAUUCUUUUGAUGAGAAACAAAAAAAUCUCAAAUACAUAAUGGGUAUUUAUCAUCAUCAAAAAAGUGGAGGCUCCAAAAAAACUUUUUAAAAAAAGAUGUAAAAAAAAGUUUGAAAAAAAAGAUGUAUUUCAAGGCUAUUAGUUAGGUUCUAAAAAAGUUUCUUUAUUGAAAAUUUCAAGGCUAUUAUUAUUUUUUUUUCUUUAUUGAAAGUUUUAAAGGCUAGUAGACUUUGUCUAUGCUAUUUGAAAGACUUUCUCUUAAAAAAUUUAUGGAACUUUCUAAAUAGGAGAAAAAAUGAUCUUAAAAAUAAAUUUUAAAAAAACAUAGGAAAGUUUAGAGAGAGGUUAAAAUCAAGCUCUAUAUGACUGCAUCAAAUGAUAAACUAAGGGAGACACGUACAUUAGUUUUUCAGCCCUCUUGUAUCACCACACUAUCCAAAAAUACAUUUUUUAGGUUGCACUACUUAUGGAUAUCUUAAUUGGUGUGAACUUGACUUCACUAAAUUCAUGGCUCUAAUAGUCUAAAGAUGCCCCAACACUCACUUCUGCAUUUUCAAGUCAAGCUAGCCAAACAUUAAGGUUCCUUAACUUGACAAAUGUCCAAGAGUCCAUAUGCAGUUGUUAGUAUUUGUAGCCUUGUACCUUUAUGAACUAAAGGAGAACCUGAUUGCAUUCUAAAGUUAUAGAACUUAUGGGAAAUAUAAUUAUUUAAAUUAGAGUUCAAAGUUAUUUUAAAAAUUUUAACACUUUGAAAUAUUGUCAUUGUAAAGUUCAACUCUCAUUACUAAGAUGUAAAAUUAUUAUAAAAAUCUGUUUGAUUGACCUCUUCAAUUGAGCUUUUUUUUGCUUGUUUGCUAACUAAUCCUUCCUUCUCAUCUUUUCCUUCUCCUCCUUCCCAUUUUUCAGGUUCCAAUUCUCUUAUUUGUGUAAAGAUUUCUCUGAUUCAUCCAUUUUAAAUAACCACUAAAGGAAUAUUUCAUUUUAUUUUAAUUCUAACCAUGGUAGAUAAAACACAUAAUUUUUACUUAAUUAAUACAUUCUAGGUGCCUCUUGCUUAGAUUUAAUCUAAUGGAGGUUUUAAAAAAAUAUAAUUUGGUCUUAAUCUUUUGCUGUAAUAUUCUUUUACAAUACUCAGAUAUAUUUUCAAAUUGGUUUCAUAUGAAACAAUGUGGAUGGCAUUAGAGUCUUACAUAAUAUGUUAACACAAUAUUAUUUUUUUAAAGCUAAAAUUAGAAUCCUCAAAUAUGUAGCACAAUAGAAGCUGUGUAAGAGUAGAAAUCAGACCUUGAUCCACAAGGCACGAAAAUAGAAGUUUAACAUUAUAAAAUGAGGGCUUAAAUCAUAAGGAAAAAAAAUUUAAAUCCUUGAAUCCAUGAUGAUCAAUUCAUAUUAUCCAUCAAUUGAAAUGAACUAGAGAAUGUCCUUGAAUCAACAAGUGCUUAUGAAUCUCACUAAUGGAGAAAUUUGUGUUAUUCAUUAUCCCCUAUAGUUACAAAGUGUUAGACUUUAAAUAAUCUAUAAACUAGUUGUGAUAUCUAAGAAAAUUAUAUUAAUUAUGAAAUAAAAUUAAACAUGAAUUAAUAAGAAAUUAGUUACUAAGACUUAAAAUCGAAUGCAUUAUUUGCAAAAUUUUAUGUUUAAUCUGAUUUUGGGUCUUCCCAUUUUUGUAGCUUAUAUUUUCUAUUAUCAGGACUUCUACACCACCAAUAUUAGACAUUUCUUCUUUCGUUGAUUAGUGUUAGACAUCAAUAUGUGACUUCAUGAGUUGACAAAUUUUGUAGUGCAGCAUCUAUCCAUUGAGUUAUUCAACUUUAUAUAAUUGCACCAUAGUGUAAAUUCAAUGUACUAAGGCAUUUUGCUUCACAUACUAUGUUAUCAUUCAAUGUGAUUUCAUAUAUUUAAUUCUUUUUACAUUUAUAUGUACCACUAUUGAGUUCAGCACUAGUAUUCUUUAGAGUGAAUUCUAUAUAAUUUGGUAUUAAAUAUAUUUAUCAUAUUUAAUUUGCAUCUAUUAGCAUAUUAUGUUAGAUGAACUUAUAUGUGAAAUGUAAGCUUAAUAUAUCCUAUUCCUACAUAAUAUAGCUAUUUCCCGUACAACAAAAUAUUACUUUAUACAUCAUGAUAUUUUAUAGUGCAAAUGGUCAUAUAUUAAAACAUAUAUUUCCCAUACACUAAUAUAUUAUGCGACUAUAUGAUACAACUUAUAUACUGAAUAGUCAACUUUGAUGUAUUACCCUAGUGUAUUAACUUUUUUCUUCUUCCAUGUUUGUUAUAUUCGAGUUAUAAAGUAGUUAUAAAUUUCCUAAUUGAGAAUACAUCCCAUUAAAAAUGUCACUUAUUACUUUAAAAUUUUCAGUAUACAUUUUUAAGAAUUAGUAACCACUAAUGCAAUAAAUACUUUCCCAAUCAAGAGAAUGCGCAAUUACUGUUUUUCCAUGAUAAGCUUGUGUCAAGUUCAACACUUGUUAGGGGCUUCAAAACUUAGCAUUUGCCUUCAUUAUUUUUGAAUCUUGUUCGAGUUGAUUUUUUAAGUUGAAUGCUGUCAAUAAAAGAAGUUCCGACGUGGUUAGCCUUUUGGUAUUUUCCUUAAAAUUAGAGGAUAGCCGAAACACUAAGCUUGAAUCUCGAUGAAAAUGGAAAGUAAUCAUGGGUUGGGUGGGGAGAGGGAGUGGGCAUGGUUUUUAAGAGUUCUUUAAACGAGAUGAUCGCAACUUCAAAUGCAUGACACUACGAGAUGGCGUGAUGCCCCUUGGUAGUUUCAUGUUCCAUGUCCAGAACCGCACCGCAUGCAUGAGGUUGGGUAGUGAUCCAUGCAGUCUUGUAGUGUCGCUAUAGCGUGGCAUGCAUGGACAUGGUGGCUCAUGUGCGAGCCUGCACACGGGACGAGCAGACCACACUGCCAAGGCACAAUGAGGAUCAGGAGGCGCUCCUAAAAAUUACACGCAAAGCGGGGCGCGAGCAGCACACACUUGCAUAGUGCGGCACGACGUUCACAUAGAGCUCAAGAAGAGGUGCAAGGGUGUGUGCAAGUAUGUGUAGAACUCAAGAAGAGGGCUCUACCGGCGAAAAAUAAAAGGUUUCAGAAAGUGUGCCGCAAACCCUGGAGGAUGUUGGUGUGAUGUGGCGCGACAGGUGGCAAAACCUUUCACAACGUGGCAGAGACGGCAUGUUAAUCUUGCUGUAUACCCCAUUGUCCAACAAGGUAGGCUGGAACCUCAUGUGUGAGAACCAACCCUCUGCCUAAUAAGGAAGCCACUUAUUUGGUAAGAAAGGGGGAGGGUGCUGGCUGGUAGGGCAAAUCAGGGAAAGCCUUAGGGCAACUCUCACCUAUAAAUGGGGGAUCCCAACCUCUUGGGAGCAGGCCUGCCUCCAACAGUUGUGAACUUGCACUUGAGAAGUGGAAUACCCAUCCCCUUUGUGCAAGCAAAGUUGUUUCAAUACCAGGAGAGGUUGCCUGGUGCACUGGUGAAGGUGGCCAAGGUUGGCAUGAGGCAUAGAUAGCAAGGUACACCACCACCCUAACGUUGCUACAGAUGAUUUUAGGCUGGUUUUUUCAAUUAUAUCCACCAGGGAUACAGGAAUUAUAAUACUUCGUCAUAAUGCUCAACUAGAAAUUUCAUACAGAAAGUAAUUAUACACAAUAUAGAUAUUUGGAUUGUCUUGGUCAAACCAUGGCCUACUGUACUCCAAAGUCAUCCUUAGGCAUCUCAUUGAGUUUCUUCUCAAAAAGCUACACAGUGCGCUCUCAAAGUGCAUAAAAUCAGCAAAAUGGGUGGUUAUGUUUGAAAGUGAUAGGCUCAUGAAAAUUCUAGUUUCACGGUAUGUAAAUUUAAAAUAAUUGCCGCCCAUGUAGAUGAGGUCUACUAGAAAAGAUUGUAAAUCAUUUAAGAAGAGUUGGAAUACUAAAUAAGCAAAAGUGUGUAAAUCAGAUGCCUUGCAUUAAAAGUGAGUCCAGAAAAGUGGUUCAAUAGGUCAAGCAAAAUCGUAUAAUGUUUUUAUAGCAUUCUAAAACAGAGCAGCUCGAGUAGAGUGGAACAAAUGCAUCAUUGUAGCUGAGAAGAAUAAAUAUUGAAUAAAAUUGAGCUAAGGAGAAAAAACAGAGAAUAACUGCAUGCUAAAUCAGUCAUUUUAUCUUAUUUUUUACUUGGUGUGCCCAAAAAUCAUGAUUCUAGCGAAUUGGCACAUGCAAAACUGCAAUGUUAAUUUUGAAAAAAAUUAAUAAGUAAAAAAAAUCGAAAAAGUAAGCAAUUUCUAGUUGCCAAAAAAGAGAAGUUUUGCAAAAAUCUACUUUGGAAUUUUAGACUACAAAGGACCCUUUUAACCCAAUUUCUCAACAUUUGCAACUAUAUUUCUUUGAGGAUCCAAGAAAAUUGAAAGUCUAACCAUUAGUAACUGGUUCUUUACACCUAAAUGAGCUGUGGACUAUUUGCUAAAGGAACUUUCAAAUAAACUUACUCCACAUUUUCUUAAGAAAUUUUAUUUAGAAAGGAGAAACAACUCGUUCUAAUCACUUUUAGAAUCUAGGUUAGAAGACAAGUACAUGUAUGAAAUGAAACAUUGCACAUCUUUGUGCUUCACAUGUUAUUUGAUCUUUCAAAGAAAUUUUAAAUUAUCCUUAAAGGCCUUAAAAUUGGACAUUUUAUUGGUCUUUAGUACUUAUGAAUGAAACUAACAUUCCUUUGAUGAUUGUCACAAAUAAGAAUAUUAUACUGAAUACCUUCUAAAGCUGAGAUUGAGCUUAUAAGGUGUUAAAAGUUUUCCACAUAAUAGUGAAUAAAAAACUACAUAUGACAAAAAUACUAGUAAUAAUUAUAAAUGAAAUGCUCCAUAAAGUAGAUUGCCUUAGACCUUGUGUAUAUUUGGAAAUAUUUGAAUUAAUUGUUUCCAUAAGUUGGCAAUUUAAACCCAUUGAAAUUGGCUAUUUCCAAGUUUAAAAUAUUUAUAAAUUGCAUCAAUCUGGGAAAACUUAUGUGAAUUAGACAUGAUAGUUAAGAAAAAUUCUUAUUUCAUGUAACAUUAUAGCAAAAUAAUUAGUUAUGUGACUUUUUCAGUUACGAGGAAAAUUAUUCGUAGUUCAUCCAAUGAGCAACAAACUAGCCGUUUCUUAUUGAAAAGUCAACUAUUGCAUGACUCACCAAGUCACCUGGUUAUUUGUUAGAGGAACCUUCAAGUAAACUUAGUUUAUAUUUGCUUAAGAAAUUUUGUUUAAAAAUGAGAAACCAACUCGUCAUCUUUCACUUUUAGAAUAUAGGGUAGAAGAAGAGUACAUAGAUUUGAUAAAACAAUUCACAUCUUAGUGCUUCACAUGUUAUUUAAUCUUUUACAGAAAUUUCAGAUUAUCCUUAAGUGCUCUAAAAUAAACAUUUUAUUGAUCUUUAGUGCCUACUAAUGAAACUGACAUACCACUGAGAAAUAAGACUUUUAUACUGACUACCUUGUAAAGCCAAGAUUGAGUUUAUAAGGCGUUAAAGUUCUUCACAUAAGCAAUGAAUACACAAAUUAAUAUGAUUAAAAUACACUUAAUGAUCAUUGGUAAAACUCUCACUAAAGUAGAUGGCCUUAGGAUCUUGUGUAUAUAUUUGACAAUGAUUGAGUUAAUUGUUUCCAUAAGUUGAUAAUUUUAACCUAUCAACAUUGAUUGUUUCAAAGUUUUAAAUAUCUAUAAAUUACACCAAUAUAGGAAAAACAGUUGUGAAUUAGACAUGAUAUAUAAUAAAAGUUCCUAUUUUAUGUAACACUACAGAAAAAUAAUUAGUCAUAUGACCUUUUAAGGUACGAGGAAAAUUAAAAAAGUCGCCAUAAAUUGUCCAAUGAACAACAAACAAGCCGUUUCCUAUUGAAAAGCCAACUACUUGCACAACUCACCAAGUAGCCUCGUUAUUGUUCUUGUGUAUUUCGAAUAGACCAGCUCAGAAAGAUGAUCCUUGAGAAUUCUUUUUCAGCAAAGGGAAAGCAAAAAGUAUGCUAACUUUUUUGUUUUUUUUUUUGGGCGAACCACUUCUUUUCCCCCUUCAUACUCUUCAAGCUGUCAAAGACUGGAUGGAGGGACUGGAACUCACCUCCCCUCCUGGAGUGGAAGCUCAAGUCCUCUGUUCGCACUAAUAAUAUCCAGAUAAGAGGUAAGUAGAGCUGAUGUGUGAACCAACCAACCCUGCCUCCCACCCUUUUGAGAGACACCAUUCCCAACAAGGAAUUAUUUUUCCUAUGCUGAAGCAAAGAGGGCCACGCCCAAUGAUGAAUGUGGAUGAAAGCCAUUUCCAACCCUCACAAAGCAGGGGGCGAUAUAAAUAAACGCGCCCCAAAAAUGGUGUACUCUGCAGUGAGAAUGGGAGAAGCCACCAAGCAAAACAGAAUGCUAUAGAGCCCAGCCAACCAUACAUGGGAAAUUAAGUACCAAGAUUCAUCUGCAUGAGGAGGAGAAUGCCGACCACAGAACGCAGGCAGCACUGACAUCAAACUCGUUCAGCCAUGCAAGAACACACCCAAAAGCAUGAGCUGUAACAAAAGUAAGGGCAACCGGUGCACUGUGAGUGUGCAUGCGAUUUGGAACACUAGCUAGCUGCCCUGGUUAUGCCACACAAGCAACUGAUAAUGGGCUCAGGCAGAGAUAUGGUGUUUCUCUGGGAGGCUGCUUAUUUGAAGAGAGAAGCUCCUAGGUUAGAGAGAGAAAGAGAGAGAGGGCAGCAGUACCUAUUUUCAGCCCCAUCCGCCGCCGGCUCCCACGCCCCCCCCCCCCCCCUCCAGAGGCUCGAGACGGGUCAGGGACACAAAACAAGAGAGAGAAAAGAAAAUGGUUGCAGCAGAAAAGCUCCUCCCGGAGGAGAGAACGUCACCUUAAGACGACAUGAAUCUUACUUACAAAGGAGCAGAAGCAGGGGAUAGAUGACUCUGAGCGAGCUUCCCCCGCAGUCGCUCCAUGAACUGAGGAUUGGCUCUGAGCCUGUCCUUGACGUACGCGGUUCGGGUCUCCUCGACCAAAUUGUCAGCUUUGUGGGCAUCAUCAAUCAGGGCAUAGAGGGUCCUCAGACAAUCCUUCCUAUUCUCCUCCCGGUGGUCGAACCUUAAGAAGAGGCCCGUGAAAAAUAANNNNNNNNNNNNNNNNNNNNNNNNNNNNNNNNNNNNNNNNNNNNNNNNNNNNNNNNNNNNNNNNNNNNNNNNNNNNNNNNNNNNNNNNNNNNNNNNNNNNNNNNNNNNNNNNNNNNNNNNNNNNNNNNNNNNNNNNNNNNNNNNNNNNNNNNNNNNNNNNNNNNNNNNNNNNNNNNNNNNNNNNNNNNNNNNNNNNNNNNNNNNNNNNNNNNNNNNNNNNNNNNNNNNNNNNNNNNNNNNNNNNNNNNNNNNNNNNNNNNNNNNNNNNNNNNNNNNNNNNNNNNNNNNNNNNNNNNNNNNNNNNNNNNNNNNNNNNNNNNNNNNNNNNNNNNNNNNNNNNNNNNNNNNNNNNNNNNNNNNNNNNNNNNNNNNNNNNNNNNNNNNNNNNNNNNNNNNNNNNNNNNNNNNNNNNNNNNNNNNNNNNNNNNNNNNNNNNNNNNNNNNNNNNNNNNNNNNNNNNNNNNNNNNNNNNNNNNNNNNNNNNNNNNNNNNNNNNNNNNNNNNNGUUCGAAUUGAAUACGAGAGAGGAUUACUAUAAUUUAAAACCACUGUUUGAAAUUUCAGCAACGUUCAGAAAUUUCAGCCGUUUCAUCGCAUCUAACUAAUAGCAUGAGUAGAAAACCCUCAACCAGUAAAAAUCCAUAUCAUAUUCUUCAUAAUCAAAGAAAUUGGACCAGAGAAAUAAGAACAAGGGCAGAAAUUUGUGCAUCUUGAAGCAGCAAAAUAGCAUAUGCUUGAACAGGAAUCAAAAGAUAACGAGUUCCAAUUUUAGCAGUCAAAUGAAGCAGUGCAAUGUCAAGUAAAUAGACAAGAGUUAGUUGCUGUACCUCUCACUGAUGAGAACAAGCUCAUCUCUACCUGGAUGAUAUCUCUUUCCAACAAUUUCUCUCAGUCGUCGGAAAGCAUGUCUUGAAAGGCCCAGUUCUUUCACAGUCACUGAAAGUUUGACCUUUCUGUUUUUUGGAUGCCACGAAUCUCCACCAGGUGCAAAGACUGCGCGUGUUUCCCAUUUCAGAAUAGGUCCCUCCCCGGGUGGGUUACUAAAGUCUUCUUUCGUUACUCCGUCAGAAAUAUUUUCUUCCACAGCGGACUCAUCUGCUAGCAUCAUCUCUGAACAUUCCAGAACCACCUUGUCCUCAAAUUCUUUAAAGAGCUCAUAUGCCUCUUCAGGCUGCAGUUCUCCUCUUUCGCACAUGUCCCCCAGUUCAUGAAACCUUGCCUCAAUCUUCUGUUUUGUCUCAUCUAACAUGAAAUCAGCCAAAACUAUUCAGUGAAUGAUCUCCAAAUGAAAAUCAUUCAUAAACAAGAAAAAAAAUACAAGUCCAGAGAUCAUUUUUAGUCAAAUGUACUGCAUUAGAUUGACAAACAACAUCAAACCAACUAGUCCACCAUUUUAGAGCACAACUAUACAACAUAAGACUUACAAACUUCUACAUGUAUACAAUAACUGCAUUAACGUCUGUGAAGUUUAAAGCCAUGAAUAAAAUCUAGACUUCUCAUUGUUGUCGCUUGAAAAAGUUUUGGCUAUGAGAGUUAACCGUGAGAUGCUUGUAAGCUGUUUCGCAAGAGUUCCAAUGAAAAUUAUCGUGUCCCUCAUGCCUUUGGUUUUCCUUAUUCGGGGCCUGCAUGUGUCAUAUCUAACUGAAAAUCUUGUUUAGAACUGUAUCAACUCUCUGUCAAUCAUCAAAAAAAAAGUAAAAUGCACCAAUAGUUUUUCUUAACAACCUAUCGAAACCCUAAAACACUAGUGAUCCAACCACAACUUUACCUGAAGAAAUUUUCUCACGCUUGUUUUAAGUACAAUCGUUUUAAAAUGGACAUAUCUAAGAACUGCGGCAAUCAAAGAGUCGACAGAUAGGUUAUAACCCACUAGUACUUUCAAAUAUUGCAUUAUGCAGUUUCAAAGGAGACGUGCCACAACCAUAUGCCAAUAUCAAGUGAAAAGCUACAUUGUACUGCAGCGAGAAAAAACCAAAUUCCUGUAAAAUUUAGGAAAUAUUCAAUCAUUGCUUCUGGAGAGUAUAUAAGUGAUUUCUUUUACCUAAUGAAGGUAUUCAAUAUUUACCCCAUGAUGGUAUAUUCGUCAUUACAGUGUUUUCCCCUCAUCUCCAGUGCUCUCCAUUCCCUCUCUUCUUUCUUCGCUCUUCAAUUUCCUCUUCGCAUCUACCAAGGUGACCGAUGAAUAAGAGGAAUAAACAAUAAAAAGUAUUUGAAUCAUGGAUCAUCUCCGAUUUCCAUUGCUCCAAACCGACCCACUGGAUACAUACUAUAAGGCCACAAUGAACGUGUCCUCAAUUUCGCUGAAAUUUAGUAGGAAUUUCCUAACGUUUCUUCUCCUACAUGUAACCCAUAGAACAGCUGUCAACAGCACCUUCUAUCAAUCAAUACCACAGUCAGUUUGUUCCAGAGACUAUGACAUAAAGAAUACUAACUUUUUCGAACGUAAUAUUUGAGUAAUUCUCAACUUUACAACGAAUUGCGUACAUUAAACAGCACAGUAAUACGUCUCCUAGAUAAACGAAAAAUAGUCUCUUUUCAUAUUUCUAUGUUUGAUAUUAAGCUUGAAGAUUUGGAUUCUGUCACACAAAGCCAGCCACAUGCUAGCCAACUUGUAAAAAAUAUUUCUUACUUUUGAAGGAAGAAAUUUUAUUCUUCCAAACCACUUUUUACCACCAAACUCUACAUCCUCUGUCGCCAUAAGUUUUCAAAGGAAUAGAUAGUGAAUAAAUCACUAUCCAUCUCUGUUAUUAAAAAUUGAACAAAUACCUUUCAUUGUUCCGGUCACUAUAAUCCAUCUGGUUAGACAAUGGUAUUUACCCCGCUCCAAAAAGAACUGGCUUCGAAGGAAUUCAAUUUUUUUCUGGUCAAAUUUCUGUCUUGAAGAUGAGCGUCAUAAACAUGACCAGAGUAGACAGAACAGAAUUUGGGAAAUAAUCCAUCUUGCACCGGCAGAAAGUAGUUCCACCCUUCCAAUCUAGAAUCAGAGUACUAAAUCAAUUGCGUUCACUCCUAUAUUCCAAUUCUGGACAAGAACAAUGGGAGACCAACAUACUGAAAUGAGAAUUCAGCAACCAUACAGGCCAAUGAUUAAAUAUUUUGUCAUUCUUGUCUCCUAAAUUCUACUUAGAAUAAUUAAUAUGUUGAUGAGAUUUAUGCAGUCAACUCACCCUUCCAAGCAAUAUAAGGGGCUUCAUUAAUAUUUCAGUUUACUGUACACAAAUAAGUUCUAUCAUCAGCAAUUUUGAUACGCACGAAAGAUAUGCAACAGGAACCUACCAGGGUUCUGUCAACUAACCCCCGCAUUCCAGUCUUGUGACUUUUAUGGUCCCAUGAAAAGGAAAAGAUGCUGGGACAGGACUCGAUUGGCCUAAGCCUCCUGAAGUCUUAAGAUAUACAUUCAGUUCAUAAUUCAGGGUGGACAGCAAAUGUUGCCGUUGAGGUGCAAUUUAUCAUUCAAUUAUGCAUUCUUUCUUUAAUCUCGUAAAUAUGAUGUUCUGUUUAAGCAACACCAACUUCUUCUGUAUGAGCUUUUCCAAUACCUGGUUUUACUACAAUGCAAAAUUUGUUUUCCUUGAGAUUUUUCUCAGGAUAAAUUGUUCCUUACGAUGCAAUAAAUUGUCUAAUAUAUGCCUUUGAUCUUCAGUAACAAACCGAUGGGCCACAAUAAUGCUCCGAAGUCCACAUUUAAAACCUUCUGCCUUUCUCUGAUUCCUGUAUUAUUUCAGCAUUUAAUUACUUCUCCCCAGGAGUAACCAGGAGAAAUACCAACACAGAUCUGAUAGCAAGCUAAUCUAGAAUUACCUCACUACAAAUAACUUCGUCCAAUUGGACAAGCUCAAGAUGCAAAGCUAAAGAGACAAGCCCGAAAAAGUGUCAUGGUGGUAUUCUAUGCACGAUAGAGUAGCGUUUGGACUUUAAAAAGCAGCAACUUCUGGUUUCCAUCCUUAUAAAGAAAAAGUGCACCCUAACAUAAAGAAAUGUUUCUUAUUGAAGAAUUCCCAUCAUAAAACGUUACUGCCAUUAUGAUUAUGGUCCAUUCCGAAGUUCUCUGAAACAAUUCUCCCAUACCUUUAAUAGCGAUCCAUCAAGAGUAUACUUAACCAUACAAACGAACUCCUGAAACAGUUUUUCUUUGAUUACCCACCCCCUGCCCUUGACUGAUAUCGACUUCUCAGGGGUUUGACUUUAAACUCUGGGAACCAGUAUGUUUAAUCCCUAAUAACAUAUAAAAUGGUAAAAUAAUUUAAAAUCGCUUAGUAAGAUGAAAAUUAAUGCGCCUCAGUUAAAUUUGAAUCCCUUCAAUUGAUUCAUCUAGAAAUCUUGUUCAGCUGGCAUAGAAGAAUGGAUAAUAGAUCCACAACUGCUGUUUCAUCAAUAAGUGGAUAGGAAUAUAAUGCUUUUAAGUGCCACUGCAUGUCUGAAAGCAAAUGAAAAUCCAUCUUCCACUUAACACAGUCCAGUCGAGUUAAGAUGACUCACACUAGCUUGGUCAUAUUACUUUGACUCCUGCAACACUUUUACCAUACAAAAAUUGGAUAGAUGGUCAAGUAAGUAACCCAGUGAAUCUCUCCAGCAAUACUAGAGGCUAGACCCCCAGCAUGGUUGGUCCCACCUGAUUGUCCCCACACACUAUGACUGGAUAACACGAGUCAGUCAACCUCAGAAAGAGACAAUGUUAAGACUAAUUACAUAACUAUCGGCUUAAAAGCUUGCUGCAGGCUCCAAACAUUAGCAAAGUUCCACCCAGCAUGUUAAGUAGUAGUCCAUGGGAAAAUCGUCAUCACUGGGAAGCACAUUUGAGGUCAUAUCCAGUUUCACAUCUAAAUACACAUUAUCUCAUCGGUAAAGAAUCUCGAAGAUGCUAUUAAGCAAGCCCUCGGAGCCAAUGUUCUCUUGUUUGUAGAAAAUUAUGAUUCGUUGAUGUUCUUUAUAAGCUUUGAAUUCACAAUAGCAUCAAUCAAGGAAAUCAAACCAACAGAACCCCAAUCAGAGCAAGGUCACACUGGAGACCAAGCACAUGAUGCUCCCACAAUCACCUAACAAAUGAAAUCACCAGGGUUGCAAUCCUUCACAAUCUCAGUUGCCUCCAUAUUCUGACUCUGCAAGAUGCCAGUGCCUGAGAUUGAUGCACUUUCUCUAGGAAGGAUCAAGAAACUGGCUUUUGGAACCAAACUUAACCGGCCCUAGACAACACCAACACAGCAUUCCUGGUUCCGAUUUUCAAACAUAAUAAUGAAAAAGGAGCAUAUUACACCAGAAACAUCCUGAAUUUACAACAAUAAAACAUCACGUAGAUUAUCAAGGAACCGUAUCAUCCAAAGUUAUUAUUUUUUAAGACUUUUCCCCAUGCUUAUAUUCAUUAAAACCUAACACAACUAUUUAAUUUCACAACAAGUAGCCAACCGACUAGAGGCAUGAACUGCAUGCUGAUUUCUUCUUCAAAACCCUUCUCAUGAAUCUAAGAGCACAGUUAUGUCUGGCUUCAUAUGUUUCAAGGUAAAGUCAUUCUACGAAACAACCCAAGGGCCAUUGUAGAAUGUCAAGUUGAACGCAGAGCAUUUUCCAGAGAGGAACCGACAACUUAACUUGAAGAGUCAUCUAAGUCAAUUGGAACAACACAUUGUCAUGAUCAACUCACUAGCGGACCGAGUUCAACCACAGUAACUAUCUCAUCCAUGCACGUUCGUUAGUUACGUUGAACAUGCGUCUCUAUCAGCAGCCUACAUAGGAUACGAAGGGCACCAUCUUUAAACUUUCCUGAGCAUGCAAUUUAUCACCUGCCAGAGAACAGGUGGCCCAGGUAUUCCAUUAGAAAAUUCUCCAACCUAACAUUCCACUGUCCUGGAAAAAAAAGGUCUGUUGCUCUAAGGACAGUUUCCAUCGCUUCAAAUUUGUCAAAACUUGAUUCAAAGACUUAUCCGCAUGGUCUAUAACACCACUCUUAAUGGAAAACAAAUCACCAAAAUUCCGGUUACUAACAAUCUUAUGUUUGUAUGUCAGGUAGUGCGCUAUCAUUAACAAUCAUUCAAACCAAUAUUUCAAUGGAAUCGAGGAGAAAAAGAAAAUUCAAGCAAAUAGCACAACAUAUGGAUUAAGCAUGAAAAGAGAGAGAGAGAGAGAGAGAAACGCGCAAGUGUAUGUCAUCAGACUCUUAUAAAAGGCGUCUUUACAAUAUUUUAAAAGACUGUGCUAAGACAGGAUAGAUCAGCUAGAGCCCUAACCCUCUCACUCGUUAUAAAUCCGUUACCCUACGCCCCUGGCUGUAGAGCACAUGGACAUGAACCCACUUGAUAAACAUUCAAAGAUCUGGCUGUCCACAAAGCUGAUCAGGGGGCUGUGAGCCUGAAUAACGAAUGGAAAUAUAUAUUCUUUCAUGAUAGACAAUUGUUCAAGAAAUCUUGAUCGAACAGUGGAAAUCAAACACUGCGGAAAUAGAUGCUAAAAGCAUAUAUUUUAGCCACGGAAGGCAAUUCAAAAAGCAGCGGCUUCAUAUGAAAUACAAAAUCUUGACCUUCGUAACCUUCCUGUUCAAUUGAGCUACCAAUAUCAAAAGCUAAUAACAGGGACCGGUGAUACUCACCAGGGAGAAGGUUAUCCCACUUGAGCAUAUCCUCAAGGAUGCGCUCACACUCGCUGGUGUCCUUGACAAAUCCCUUCUCAAUGGCCUCCUGCACCAUCCCAUCCCACUUGCGCUCGUCCAUGUUGAAGUACUCGUCCUUCACCAUCUUCUGCUCCACAUGGUUCCGAGCAUUGUACAGGUCGGGGAUGUCCUCGUCCGUUGAGUACAGCUCGUCAAAAUCCUCCUCGAAUUCACGGUCCUUUACGUCCUGCAGCGGCUUCAUCCGCAGCUCCUCCAUCAGCUCGUCGUCCGUCUCCUCGUGCUUCCCCGUCAGCUUUCGCCUCACGAUCGCCUCCAUAAUCGACGGCAGCGCCUCCUCGUCGCCCUUGAAAUAUUUUUCAAUCCGCCUCUUGAGCUCUGGAGACGGGAUCGAAAGAUUAAAACAAUUCAAAGCAAUCGAAGCCCUAGAUCGGGAUGAAACGCGGGUCAGCGAGGGGCGGCACCCGCGUUGGUGACAUCCUCGACCACGGCGGAGGAGGAGGAAGCCUCGAUGAUGUCGCCGGAACCAGAAGAGGCGGCAGCAGAGAUGUCGGCGGCGGGGAGCGCCGUAGGGGCUUUGUCCUCGUCAUUGCCGUCGGAAGAAGAAGAGAAGAAUCUGAAAUGGGGCAGGGACGAGAAGCGGGGGGAGGCACAUUCCGAUAGAGCUCGGCGGGCGGGGAUGGGAGAGACACGGUGGAGAUGGGAACAAACGGGGAUGUAGCGGCGACCAUGGCCUUGCUGGAGGAGGCGGAGGAGAGCUCUCAUUGCGGUCAAGUCCUGCUGAGGUUUAGGGUUCUGUGAGAUGCGGAGAGAGAGAGGUGGGGGGGGGAGAGCGGGCGGCUUGGCACGUUUAAUGGCCAGUGACGGAGAAGCCCAGGAGGCACGAAGUGGGUACACUCGACUUUUACCUACGCGAAACCUUAAAAAAAAAACUGCACCGUCCUCUAGAACAGCAGAUUCAAUCUAGGUCAUGAUCUAGCUUAAUGCUCGUCCAGAACAGGGCACAUACGCCAAGGCGGUGGGAGCAGUAGCCGGCCAUCAAGCUGCGACCAGUCCGCUGCUGUGUGAUGGUGGAAUUAUCUUCUAUAUCUGACAAUAUUUUGGCUCCCCGAUGGAUCGUAUUCACGGCAAAUCGCUGGAAGAUUUCCGCAGCUCCAUCGAUCUAUCAUCACAGUGACGAGGUCUCAUGAUAAAAGUCUUUGCAAUGCCCCCAAGAAACGGUUCAUCGCCUCCCCCGUCAAGCUCCGAUUCUCUAGGGUGUUCAUGCCGGGCCGGUGCAGUCCAGUUGCAGGCGGGCAGCCUGCUCACGUCCCGCUACGGAGGAAGGAGAGAGAGAGAGAGUAAAGAGAUUCGUCCAAUGGUGAGUUCCUUUUUUCACUGUGCGGAACUGCACUGUAGCCACCUGCAACACGGGUAGAAGGAUGAAUCUGGGGGGAGGUGUUCAGCCCGUGCAGUGGGUCUGUCUUCUUCGCGCCACCGUCCCUUCUGCUCCAUGCGAGGUUUGGGGGUCAACCUGUCACAUUUUCCUCGGCAAGGUAUUGUCCAUGGCGGUCUCAAAACACGUGCUUGGCAAGUCUAGAGAGAGGUUUAGACAAAUCUCCUCAGCCCAAGAGGUCAGCAGAGACCGAGAGCGAGAGGGAGAGAGAGAGAGAGAGAGAGAUUUGUGUGGUCGCCACCAGGCCAACGUCUGUCCAAACACCCGGUGGAUAGCCUUCGGACAGCUUGCCGGGGACCCUCUGGCGAAAGGGAGAGCCCCCCUCCACCGUGUUUCUCUCUCUCUCUCUCUCUCUCUCGCUAUCUGUCUUACUCUCUCUCUUCUGUCUCCGUUUUAAAGAUGGCUGGGAGGGACUUGUGGUUCGAUAUCCUCUGCCGCUCUGGUCCUCCCCUUACUCCUGGCGACUGCGGGGAGGCUCUCCAGGCUGCAGGUCCGUUGCUGCUGCCCCCUCUGAAACUGCUCCCGCUUUAGAUUCGUCAUGGAGGGGCUGGGGUUCGUCGUCCCCUGAAUGAGCUGCUCGGAGNNNNNNNNNNNNNNNNNNNNNNNNNNNNNNNNNNNNNNNNNNNNNNNNNNNNNNNNNNNNNNNNNNNNNNNNNNNNNNNNNNNNNNNNNNNNNNNNNNNNNNNNNNNNNNNNNNNNNNNNNNNNNNNNNNNNNNNNNNNNNNNNNNNNNNNNNNNNNNNNNNNNNNNNNNNNNNNNNNNNNNNNNNNNNNNNNNNNNNNNNNNNNNNNNNNNNNNNNNNNNNNNNNNNNNNNNNNNNNNNNNNNNNNNNNNNNNNNNNNNNNNNNNNNNNNNNNNNNNNNNNNNNNNNNNNNNNNNNNNNNNNNNNNNNNNNNNNNNNNNNNNNNNNNNNNNNNNNNNNNNNNNNNNNNNNNNNNNNNNNNNNNNNNNNNNNNNNNNNNNNNNNNNNNNNNNNNNNNNNNNNNNNNNNNNNNNNNNNNNNNNNNNNNNNNNNNNNNNNNNNNNNNNNNNNNNNNNNNNNNNNNNNNNNNNNNNNNNNNNNNNNNNNNNNNNNNNNNNNNNNNNNNNNNNNNNNNNNNNNNNNNNNNNNNNNNNAGAGAGAGAGGAGGGGGUGCGGGGGAGACAGACGAUGAGUGAGAUGAUGGAGACGACGAAAUCGGAGCACUUCGACGGCAUCGGCUCCGUCACGGCUGCCAUCAGCCUCUUCGGAGAGAGGAUUCAUGGCGGAAAACCGCUCGCUACCAAGCAGAGGCCCUUGUUUCCUGAUGUAUGCAUCUUCAUCUUCAUCGUCUUCUUCCUCCCUCCCUCUCUCUCUCUCCGUGUGUGUAUUCAAUGGGCGAAACUGAUUAGGUGUUUGCGAUGUGUCCUCUGAAGGAAUCGCCGCCAUCGAAGACCAGAGAGCUUCUUCAUCUGGUGCGGAGGGACGCCGGCAGACUCGGCGAGCAGCUGAGGUUCUCAGAGCGCGAGAAAUCUGUGGCGGAGUCGGAAUUGGCCAGCAGCAAGGAGACCAUGAACGAGUUGAGAACGCUGCUCGAAAAUUCUAGCAGGAAGGUGAGAAGCGCCCGUCGGAUGUUGGCGAAGCCCACCGGAGAUGGAAGCAUGGCCGGCGGCGGUGACGGCGGCGGCGAGUACGAUGAACUGGUAAAGCGGUUGGAGCGGAUGAAGAAGGAGAGGAGCAAGGUGAGGCUCGACAUAGCCCGCGCCGGCGAAGAUACGGUGAAGGCGGAGGAGGAGGCGGAAGCGGCGGUGCUCCGGUCGGCGUCUUGCCUGAACUCGAUCGAGGAACUGAGGAAGGAGGUGGACGCCAUGAACGAGGAGCACGUCCUCGUCGAGAUCGCCAGGCUGCAGGCCGUCGAAGAAACCAGGGAGAUCGAAGCGAGCAGAGCGGCCGAGGCGGCUCAAUUUGCCAAGAAGAUCCAGGAAAUCAGAGAUCGGAUGAAGGGGAUGAGGAGAGAAAUCGAUCUCGCCGCCUCGCAGAGCCAGAUGGCGAUGGUGAGAGAGGCGGCGAGGGAUUCCGGGGGCGGCGGCUCCCCUGCAACGGAGGUGGAGAAGAGGAGGCGGAAAUCGGAGCUCGAGAGGGAGUUACAGGUGGCUAGGCAGGAACUGGCCUCCAUCAAGGACGAGGGGUUCCAGCUGAUGGCCUCCAUGGACAUGGUGAGGCUGGAGUUGGUGCAAAUAUCCAGGGAGACGAGCCGGCUGAAGAAGCUCGAGGAGAAGCGAGAUUCAGCCCUGCAGAAUCUCAAUUCCAAGCUCCUCAGGGCGAAAUCGAAGCUGGAGACGGCCGCGGCGUCCGAGGGGAAGUCGAGAUCAAUUGUGGUCAACCUCUCGGCGGCUCUGCAACAGCUCAGAACGGAGGCGCAGGCGGCGAGGAAGGAGAAGGAUCGGGCCGAGGAAGAAAUCGAAUCGACGAAGACGAAGAUCCAGUCGGCCGAAGCAGCGAUGGAAUCCGCCGAGCAGCGGCUCGAGGACGCCAUUGACGCGCUCAAGAGCGCCAAGGCCUCCGAAGCUUCCUCCCUGGGGAGGCUCAAGCACCUCUCGGAGAGGACGGUGAAGUUCAGGGCCUGCUCGGCCCCGCGCAGCUCCACCAUCACCAUGUCCGCCUUCGAGUACGAGUAUCUCAAGGGGCAGGCAGAGGGGGCUCAGAAGAUCGCGGAGAAGAAGGUGGCCGCUGCUCGGGCCUGGAUCGAGGCGUUCAAGGCCAGCGAGGAGGAGAUCCUGCUGAAGAUCGACAGGGCAAGGAGGGAGAUGGGGGAGCUCGAGGCCGCCGAAAACAGGGAGAGGGACAGGAUGGAGGAGACCCUCCAGGGAGAGCUUUCAAGUUACAGGCGGGAGGAGGAGGAGAGGAAGGAGCAGGAGAUGGCCGUGGCGGCGGCGGCGGAGCUGCUGCAGGUGGCCGCCGUCCAGAGGAAAUCCCUGAGAGAGAUCGGGAACCAGGCGGCGCUGCGGAGGUCCAGGACGGCUCGAAGGUCGUCCCUGUCGCAUGGCGCCCGCCAGUUCCCCCAGUCGCCCUCCGUCGCGCUGAAGAAGAAGAAGGUCAUGCCCGGCCUGGUGAAGCUUCUCCGCGGCAGGAAACCAGGCAAGCACAAGUGACUCUCUCUCUCUCUGCCCCCUCCCUCCGGCUCGUUGGUGGUAGAGCCGAACAUGGAUCAGAGAGAUGACUUGCAGAGGCGAAGGCCCCUUUUCGAGGUUUUGACUUUGCUGCAGCCGACGUGAAAAAAGUGUUCUUGAUUGGUUGACUUGGAAAAAGUCUUACCCUAGAUGGUUUUUUGGUCAACCGAUUUCUAGAGCCGAGGAAAUCCGACGACGGGCAUUGAAUGCCGAGCGCAGAGUGAUGCCCCCUUUCCCGCUCGGUGUUGAGAACUGGCGGGGGCGGCGUUGUGGGCGAGGACAUUUGUCCAAUGUUGCUAAAAUGUUGGGUUUCUGGCAAUUUGAGAACUUGUAAGGGGGCGGGGCGUAACAAAACGGCCUGACGAUUUUGAGGCCUCUGUAACGGAAGGAUUUCGUUCAGCGUCUUGUGAGGAUUUUUUGGGCGGCAGAUCCAAGCCGUCCGUUUUCAUCGAUCUGGAAUCACCGACUCGACUUGUGGAGGGCAAGAGGAACGCGUGGAGGGUUGAGAAGGCGGGGUGUUUGUGGGCCCCUACUUCAGUAUAACCCGCACGUGCGCUGCGGACGGUGGCUUCCGCUGCUCCGCUCGUCUACUCUGCAUAACGUAAUCCAGCUUCUCGGACCUCUCGGCGCGCGCGUUCUCAGAUCUGCAUCUCUCUCUCUCUGUGUAUCUGGCUCCCUGGCCCGCACUCGGAAAUUUGCCAUGAGCCGGUUGCCAGGGUAGACGAUCCCGAUCGGCGGAGAUGGAGGGUCUGCGGCGCAACCGUCGGCGCCGUCGUCGAGAGGGAUGGACGUGGAGAAGUCGUCGAUGUGCAACUUCGUCGUGGAUUUCCUGCUACGGGAGAAUUACCUGCUCACGGCAUUCGAGCUGCUCCACGAACUCGUCGAGGACGGCCGGGACGACCAGGCCAUCCGCCUUCGCGAGUUCUUCUCCGAUACUUCUAUCUUUCCCCCCGACCAGAUUGGGCGUUUCAGUGCUCUCAGAGGUCCGUACUGCCCCCUGUUUCACACCUCCUAGUGGUAUCUGCAUUCUGAUUAUUUCAUAGGAUAGUGUGCAAUGUUUAAUUUUUUUUACCAACGGGCACCGUCUCUGGCCCUGAACGAAUCGCGCAGUAUAGCUAAUUGGACGUAAAUUUAGAUGUUAGUCGCUGAAAUCUUAUUACCGAAUUCGCAUACUGUUCAGAUCAUGCACCCGCAACUUAGAUCCUAUUUGGAUAGCUCCGUCAUUUAAACAUUCCUAUGUGGAAUGUAUCGUUUUUGUUGAGGUCAAAAGUUCAAGUAAUGUGCUUUAGAAAACCCUGGUAAUGAUAUCGCAGCUGGGACCUUGCUUGAUGUGUAAAAUGAUUUUUUAAAAUUUUCGUGUUUAUUUGUGUUCUCUAUCUUAUCUUACAUGAAGAAUUUGUCCCGCUUAUGGGUUUUGAAUGCUAUUUGGGGAACCCAGGUUUUCACUCCCAAAGGAGUGGAAAACAAACGAGGGUGGAUCUGUUUCAUAGGCUAACUUGGUUAUUUGGCAUAGAAAUUUGCAGAAAUUUUUUUUUAUUCGUGAUCUCAGCUUGUCCUAGAUGGAAGAUAUCCUAUCUUUUGAGAUCUAUCUUUGCCGAUUUUUUUUAUUGAUUAUCGAUUUUCAUUUCCAGUAAAUCAUGUUGGCCCUGGAAAAUAUAUGUUCACCCGUGCUGUUACUAUUAUAUUUUCCGCUGGUUGUGUCGAUUUUAUUUUGCACUCUGUUAAAUGAAAUAAGAUCUGUGCAUAUUUUGUUAACGAGGCUACAAAUCUAGCCGGCAAACUAACAAUUUUCUGAUCAUCAUGCUAUUAAAACUUAAAAGAUGCUGGUUUGUUUAACCUUGAGAUCCUCUAAAUAUUGAAGGAAAAGUUGGUAUUCAUCAUGGAGUCUUUCGAUUAUAAUAUUCCUUGAACGCUUGUUCUUACAUCAGAUUAUUCACAGUUAAAGAGAACAUGCAGAGCAUUAUCUUUUCUUAUGCAUGUGGGUGGCACGUUUAUGCUUGUUGCCAGAGAAACACCAUCUUCAGAGUUAAGGCAUUUGGAUGAAAAAUAUAUUUUUUUAAUUCCUUUGUAACGGUAGCAAUGUCUUGGUUUUAUGAUCCCUUCCAACCUUGCCUCUGAUUUAUUCCCUUUUACGGAUUAGGGAGAUCUUCUGAUUAAGGACGAGAUCGUUGGGCAUGGGGAGUGGAAUGGGAAUGUGAUUUGAUAAAUGGAAAAGGAGAUUGAUUCUGCGUCUCUGAUUUUAAAUGGACUUUCCCAUUUUGGCUGAACUGGGGAAAAUGCAAAAUAAAAAUAAUUAUAUGCCAGAGCAGAAACAGCUGUAGUCAGUUGGUCUUAGUCUUCUCUGGUUGUUCUCGUCUGCGGAUAGAAGUAAAUACCAAACUCAAAAAGAUAAAGGGGAUAUGAUAACGUUAAUUUUCCAUAAUCCAAGACAUGUCUCCAUCGUUGUAAUUUUUCCUGAUCUGUUGUUUUUCGUUCAUUUUCUAGCGACACAUUGCUGUUAGAUGGUUCUGAAUAUGAUUCCAGAAAGUAAUUCUAUCGCUGAUCUUGUUGUUUUGUUCUUUCUGAACAAAAAAUAAAUCCCAUUGCAUUUUUUUCAUUGCUGCAAUUUGUUUCGACAAGAUAUGUUGGAUGAAGAAUCUUGUCACAACUGGUUUCUUCCAUUCUCAGUUGCAGACCCACAAAGUUUGCUAGAAGAGAAAGAAUUGCUACAGGAGAAAUUGGCAAUUAGUGAGUAUGAGCUGCGGCUGUCUCAAGAAGAUCUUAUGAAGUUAAAAGAUGAAUUGCAAAGGAAAUCUGAACUUCAUCCUGAUGGCUCUGAUGGUUAGUUCCUGGGUUCCAUUUUCAUGUCUGACAAAUGAUAUAGAUUUCUACGUUUAUUUAGUUACUUUUGAAAAUGAUUAUUCAUUAUAUUUAUCAUCAGUUUCCUUUAUUUAAUGGAAUCCAAUUCAUCUUUUCUUUCGGUGCAAAGUUCAUCUCAUCAGUUUUCAAGAAAACUUUAUCCUUCCACUUCAGUUAUUUCUCAUUUAGAUUUUUUUUAUACUGUGGCGUAUCUGGCAAACAGUGCGUCAAACACUAUUUCCGUACGACUGUUUCUUGGACCUUGUAUAUCCUUAAUAAUUUUUGGUAUCUAACUAAACUAUUCUACAAUGAAACAGAGAAAGUGAGAGAACUGACCAUGAAUUUUCUUUCUUGAAGUUCUCCUUUUAGAUAAUCAGUCUUUUUGAUCUAAAAGAGAGGCUGAGCAGUAAAAACUCAAAAUUAAGUAUGCAAUACUUCACCAUUGCUUAUGAUUGUUGGAGGCUUACCGUUACAUGAUUUGUGAAAAAGGCAAUGGUGAGCUUUCGAACUACUUCUGGCUGUCGUUUUGUACUUUUCUUCUGCCUAAUGAUACCGCCAAUUGGACCUGAUGAAAAAAUUAAGAUUAAAUGAGAAAUACGUUGGAAAUUUAUUCUGUGCUCUCAGAUCUAACAUGGGGCGGAUUUCAUCUGAUGCACUGAAUGCUCAAUGACAAUCGACUGUAUUUUGCCAAUUUCCAUGUCAACCUUUGUAACUCAUAUAAAUUUAAAACUAGAAAGAGAAUCAAUGAUUAUUAUGGUUUGAAUCUUUGAUAUAAAAUUUAAUUUUCUCCCAUUUUUUAAAUUCUUUCAUCUCACAAAAACUGUGUGAUCUGAAAAUGGCUUUUCUCCCUUGAAGAAGAAUGUGCUCACCAUCAUAAGUGGCUGGGCUUUAAAUUUAUAUAUACUAAUAAUCAGUCAAUGCCUAUCAAAAUCUUCAGUGAUCUGUGACUGAAAAUCUUGGAGAGCAGCUGUCUCCCUGGCCCCUUGCUAAGGUAUUCUGGUGGUCACUUACUAGCAAAAAAUUAUCUUCUGUUCGCCAUAAAAUGUCACAAAACUUUGGGCAACCCUGGCACACUGGUGUUUGCUUCCUUCUGGACCAGGGUCCCAACUUAUAGGAAUGUGUUGGGGCCGAAACUCUUGGGCCCAGUAAGGAGGACGGUAUAAGGUCCCUGAGGGGACCUGACUGCGGGGACUUUUGAAAGAAGUUGUUGGGAGAGUGGGGCACUCUUGAAUCGUCACCAAACAGUUAUAGGUUUCAUCUGGUAACCCCUUUUCUGUUCCUUUCCCUUUUCUAUCUCGGUGGAGCUAUUUCCUUCAUUUCUUUCGGUUAUUCUCCCUUGUUUCUACUCAAGUAUCUACCCUUGUUUUGAUCCCUGUUUUAGGACCCUAUCAGAAUGGUACACGAAACUCACUAUGAAUUGCUGGUAGCCACAUCCUUCGAAGAUUCAAAGCCACGGAAUUCUCAAAGGGGUAUCCCUUUACUGACCCACCCAUCCGUGUUUGACAUUAUCCACUAAGACGUCUUGGAUCUUCAUGCACGAGAGAUAUGUGCACCUUGUUCAUGAGAGUGAGAGAUAUGUGCACUUCGUGUGCACAUAGAUAUGGUCCCUUCAUGCCAGUUGAUUGGUUGAACUCAGGGAUCUGUGCAUUGAGUCCGAAGUUUAUUUGAACCUGUAUGAAUCUUGUCACAGUCAGUAGGACCAGCUGAACUAAAUGAAGUCUCUUUAAUGUCAUUUAUUUAACCAUCUCAGCUUUGCUCAGAAACUCCCAAAAAAUGACUAUCCAAGACCCUGUGACACAUGAAGGGUGUCACCAUGCCUAUGGGAGCCCAAUGUGCUAAAUCAUAAAGUUAAGAAAAAUUUUAACGACUGAUUCCAGUUUUCUUUGCGUCAUUAAAUAUAGGGAAAUAACCCAAGAGUGAGUUACAUCAUCAGUCAUCAUAAUCCCACCAAAAGCUCAUGGUAUAACCUCAAUUUCAGAUUGUAGUUUUGAACUAAUAUUGGUAAUGCUCGAAAUUUCAAUGACGCUUGAGUCCCUAACUCAACCAAUACUACUAGGAUACUCCAAGUUUGCGUCUUUGAAUUUCAAAGACUCAUAUUAACCACAUUUGUGCGAAAACUGAAACGUCAAUCAUGGCUGAUGGUUAGUGUAGACUUGAGCUCUAAUACUGUAGAUAUCUAUCUGGUAUGCAUUUAUCCACUGGGAUGCAACGACAAAACAAUUAAAGAUGAUCUCCAAUCUCAGAAACUACGAAUUUUUAUUAACUGUAGUUCCUUUCUGAAUUUCCAAAUGUUCCUUUCAAUUUAUUUCAGUCGUUUAUCACUAAGGUUUUUUGGUUCACUAUGUAGAAGUAUCAAAGCUGCAGGUGUUCAACACAUUAAUGUAUGUCUCAUUGGGUCUUUCAAGAGCAUGUCUGUACCCAUUGACAUUAAAACAUGGAAACCUCUUUUAUCAGUUUCAAUAAAAUGAGACUUGCUAUUUAAUGUACAAAAUCCAUUCCAUGGCGAAAUCUUUUUUGAAAACAGGUCGUACUGAGCGGCAUGAUACUCUCCCUAUGCACCUUUCGUGGUUUCGGUGAUGGUGUGGAAAUGAUAAUGGUCCUUUCGCAAGUAAAAUUCUUGUCUACAGGUGUUGGAGAGUGGCCUCUACCAAAUGAUGGUUUACAUAAAAUCCAGUCAUUAAAUUCGACCUCUCUAUUUUUUCGUUCCUACAUAUGUAUAAAAGCUGAAUAACUGGCAUCCAGUGUCUCAUCUAAACAUUUCUACCCUUGUGAAUGUGUUUGAAGUUUUUUUAUGACGUUGGAAGUUCUCUAAAAGUUGCCUAAUUUGAUUAUGGGUAUCAUUUUUAUUACCUGAGUGAGUUUGCAUCACUUUGGAUGUUUGAUAUGUAUUGAAUAACAGAUAUAAGUACUAUUAUAUGGUUGAUAUUGUGGAUUUAUCUAAGGAAAAAUUCACAAAUGAAUAGUGUCAGAAAUCAUUCUUAUUUUAGACUAGACUUUAUCUCCUUUGACAUUACUGUAUUUAAUCUUCUAGUUAUAUUGUUGCAUGGUGUAGGUCUAGUAGCGGAUCCUUCCCAGAUUGAUGGAGGUGAAGAGGAAAAGAGAAGGGGGUCAGUUGAUUUAGGUUUACUGAAGGAUGUGGAGCGUUGGGUUCUUAAUUGUGCUGUGAAAGAAUAUUUAAUGCUUGCUGGUUAUAGACUCACUGCCAUGACAUUUUACGAGGAGGUACCGACCAAAUGAUUUCCCAGCAUCUGUUUCACUCUUUGUAUAGUGGUGGAUGCUGAAUAUUGGGUGGGAUCUUAAAAUGCUAUUAUGUAUGUUUAUAGCUGCUAAAUGUCAGGAUCACCUUGUCGUUUGCAUUGGUGAAAUAGACUUGUGAAUGGAACUUGUGCAAGAUAUGUCAUAAGGGGGACCGACCACCAGUUUAAGUCAAUAAAACCCUUGAACAUGGGAAAUAAACAAUAUCUACCAUUUUGCAAAUGCAGACGUCAAAUGGAGAUCUAACAUUUACAAAGACAUGUUACUGUCUGUUAACAUCCACACAUUCGGAAGUUAAGUGAAGCACCUCCAUGAAAGCCUGAAAUAUUUAAAAUCUGAGGAUUUAGCGUACCUUCACCUUGACAUCACAAAAUUGUCAGUAUCCUGUUGCGUGUAAGAUCUCGUCUUUCAAUUUUCAGCUCUUCCGGAAGGUUUCCCCAAUAACGUCAUGAGGUUACUAUAAUUUAUGGAAGAUUGGAGGCAUAGAGUUUAUAUGUUGUUAACUCAUCAAUUGCUGAGUGUAUCUUUUGCCUGAUAUGACCCAAUCUGAUAACAAGAAAAAGACAUUCUUAUUAAUUAUUUUGAGAAAUUAUCCGAGGGAAAUUAUUUCAUGGAUGAAGUUUCUCGUCGAUGAUAUUCCAUGGCUCUAAAGAGUGUUUUCCCAUUCCUGAUAGGGUUAUCACUAGUUAAUUAUAAAAAAUAUAUGAAGUAUGUGUUGCAUUUUCAUUAUUUUGUGAUCUUUUUAGAAAAGCGAUCAUUGAACCUUUCAAUGCUUCUUGAAUCAUUUAUUAAAUUUCUUGACAAUGAUUGGCGAAUCCCAUUUAUGUAGUAACAUGGCAUCCAGCUCAUCAAAUAUUCGAAAUUAUGUUUAUCAGCCAAUGUGUUUAUAAAACGUCAGAAACAAAAUCAUAAAGAUUUUUGAAUCUUUGUGAAUGCUAAUUGAUAAGUUUUGGAGUUGGCCAAGUGCUUUUCCCAAAAUGUCAUAAUUGCCAAAAUCAGAUCUGCAUACAUUACAACACAAUACAUAUUGAUUAAAGUAUGGAUCUGCUUGCCAAAGAAUUUUUUUCGAUUCUCUCAUUAGACACUAGAAAAUAACUUUUUGGUCAUACUCUUAUUUCUUGUCAGACCAUUUUAUCUAUGUAUGUUGAAGUAACACUAUUUUGUCCAUCAUGGUGGAGUACUUAUCAUGGGAUACACUGCAUCAAUUUCUUGUUUCCUUGUCACAUUUUAAUGAGGAAUGACUUGAAAGAGACUUAUUAAUUGAUUUUUUUGUCUCAUAUUCAUUAAAUGUUGUGAUAUUUGGGGUAUUGAAAGGGAACAUGACCGAGAUUGUUUGACUGGCUGUUGAUUCGCUGAAAGUUUGUAUGAUGUAUGUACACGUCACUACAAACGGUCUAGUUUUUUUUCUUUUAAUGUUCAUCGCCAUGCAUGUUAUGUUCGUAAUCAAAGGCACAGUUUUAUUUGAACCUGUAACAAUGAAAAUGAAAAAAUCUUGAAUCAUAUUUGUUCAUCAUUAAUAUUCUUAUGAAAUGAUGAGGCUCAGUGGAACAAUGAGAAAGAGAAGUUGAAAAAUGAAAUUUCUUAGGUGAAUGUGCACGUAUUGGAUGAAAUUGUGUCGCCAAGAGUUCACAAUUUUCUCUACUAAAUUUAACCCAAGCAAAUGGAAUGGUCUCAACAUGUAUAUAGAACACAAUGUAGAAAAUAAAAACUCCUUAUUGAUAGUUUUUAGUAGACGUGAAGGAAAUGGACUAUUUUUUUUUCUCCUGUGAAGCAAGUUUAUCUUGUUGGUGCUCUGUGAAACGCGUCACUUUUUUUUGCGUAGAUUACUACUAGAACUCGGUUUUGUACCGAAGGUAUGAUGAGAACCUUUCUUCUUCCAACAUAUCAGCAUUUCGGUCAAAGUUGCAGUGACAGUCAUUUUUCUUUUAUCUGCAUUUGCCGAUAUUGAAUUCUGAUGCAGUCACUCAAAACUUUCUGAUAAUUAGUCAAUCGAGAACUUCUUUCACAUUAUUAAAUCAAUACUAAUGUUUAAUUAUUUUUAGAUGUCCCUUGAAUAGCAUAGUAUGAAAACUUGAACCCUUGUGCUGCAGGUUACUGACCAAAACCUUGAUGUCUGGCCAAAAUCCCCAGCUCAUGUGAAUGAUGCUCUGCGUCAUUACUAUUAUCAGUACCUUUCAUCCACUGCAGAUGCUGCUGAGGUAUGUUUUGAAAUAAACUGCUAGAUGGAGAACCUGGCUUGGUCUCUGAGUAGUGAGAAUCCAACUACCUAAGUUGUUUUUCUCAUGCGUUCGUAAUCUAUUAUCUAUUUCAUCCUCAUCCACUAUUCUAUGUAAAGAUAAAUUACAGUUUUCAUGUUGCCUCAUCGAUCUGGACAACAGACAAUUAAGUAACAAGGUUAUUAUAUUUGUCAAUGUGAACAUGUCAAAUUAUCUGUAUAAUGCUUAGAAAGGAAUUAUCGAUGGUUUUGUUGAGUUAUAGAACUUUCAUCGGAACUGGAUGCAAAGACAAUCAAAGGAACGUACACUUGUAUUCCUGAUAACAUUUAGUCGAAAAAUAUGAUAAGACAGAGUUAAGGGAGAGGUAUCUCAUACUUUAUUAGUCUUAGUUGUAAAAAUGGACAGGGCAAGCCUGUUGUCCUGAGCGGUCUGAGGGGUAUGACAGCCAAUAUUAGGAUGAAUUGCUAAACAAAUGUAUCAUGCAAGGGCUGAAACUUUUGUCCCGUUUAGUAAAGGUGUUGGGCGUGGUAUGUUGUUUUGGUUCAGGUAGCCUGCUCGGUAGAACCUAUCUGUGACAUUCUUUUAAAUCUGUUCUCUCAUUUAAAUCUAAAUUAUGCUAGCAGAUCCUUCAAUGUUGUGAAGAAAUGUUCUUGCAUUAGGUAGGCUACCGAGUCCGAGUUCCUGUUAUAUUAACUUCUAGUUAGUUUUAUGUAAUCGUUAAACUUAUUUCUUCUAUUUCUACUCAAUAAAGAAAUUCAUGUUAUGUUAUUUUGUUAAGUCGGAUUCCAUCUGCUGUGGUGCAUGUUUUCAAUAAAUCUUAGCAUAGAAUGUGAUGCUAGAUAAGAUUGGUCCAAAAUCUCAUCCACAAUUAUUUUGGGGUGGAAACUGUGCUCACUCAUUUAAUGUGCAACAGCAAGUGCUCCAUUCAUUUACAGGAAAGUUUUUCUUUUGUGGUAUCGUCAUUGGUUUUAUAUUGCCCAAGGUAUGAAAUUCUUCAGAUAUUUAUUUUAUUUUGCUGAUGUUUGGUUCCAGGAGAAGAUUUCCAUUCUUCGAGAUAGGGAUAAGUUGCUGGCAGAAACUGAACGUCUCACAAGUGAAAAGGAGUCUUUGGAGAAAAGUAGGGACUUGGCCAACAACCGCUUAGCAUCACUGACAAAAUUGCUGGAAACAACACAGAAGGAAGUUAAAGAGAGGGAAAUCAUGGUAUAUUUACAUAUUGUUACUUUGCUUUAUCACCUUUUUCAUUGUGCUUAUUGAGCCUCCUGUUUUAAGGUACAUGAUUUAAAGCAGUCACUAGAGCUUCAGAGGAAGGAACUCAAUGAUUGCAGGGCUGAAAUCACUUCACUCAAAAUGUACAUUGAAAGUUCUCGAGCUAGUCACGGCUGGGUUAGUGAGAAAACUGAACAUAUGCAAUCUCGGAAUAUUGACAACCCUGUAGAAGACAAAUCUAACCAGAAACAAGCAGAAAGUUCUAAGAGAGACUGCAUUCCUGAUAAUCCUAUGAGCUCUAUGGAUUCUUUUAGUGAAGAUAUGACUGCAGAGAAUAAAACCAUCAGAACAGAAGAAGAUUCUUCUCAUCCAAUGGAUUCAGUUUUUGGGAACUCAAAUGUUGCAUACCCGACUCAUUUGAGUGACCCAAUUAAGUCUACCACUGUUACUUCUGAGCCAUCUAUAAGUUCUUGCAAUGGUGUGCUUUCCGUUGAAAGCAAUCACAGAAGCUAUGAUAACAAUUCUAUUCCAUCACCAGAUAAUUCCUCAGGGCGAACAGCUUCUGAAAAGACUGUGAGGACCUUUUACUUUCCUUAUUACCAUAAACAUUUUACAAGGAUUAAUAUUUCUUAUUUGAGACAUUCUUAAACUCGCAUUGAAGUCGGUAUUCUUCAUUUCAGGGUCUGGAAGCUAUUCACAUACUUGCAGAUGCUUUACCUAAGAUUGUUCCAUAUGUUCUUAUCAAUCACCGUGAGGUUCUGAUUUCAAAAUCUGAUAGUAUUUUUGCAGUUCAUUCUUAGAAGGAUUAAUGCUCUAUUAAUUUUAUGGUCAAUUGUCGAACAGGAACUUCUUCCUCUAAUGAUUUGUGCAAUUGAACGUCAUCCAGAAAGUAGUGUCCGGGAUUUACUAACACAUACACUAUUUAACCUCAUCAAACGACCUGAUGAACAGCAGAGACGAAUUAUUAUGGAUGUAAGUUAUGUCAAUUGUUACAAAUUUCUGCAAAUUAGCAUUUGCUUUGCAUAUUUUUUAUUCCUUACAUAAAAUUACUUUCACUUCUUUCAUGAAAUAAUGAAAAUUCUUGAUCCAUCUCUUUUGAUUUUUAGGCCUGUGUUAUAUUAGCAAAGAAUGUAGGUGAGAUGAGAACUGAAACGGAAUUACUUCCUCAAUGUUGGGAGCAGGUGCAAGGCAAUUUUUUCUGUUUGCUUACUUUCUUUUUCUGACACUAAUGAUCCAGCUUGUUCAAGUCUGUUGACACCUUGACCUUUUAUUCUCUUGAACGCAGAUCAAUCACACUUAUGAGGAGCGUCGGCUUCUUGUUGCACAGUCUUGUGGAGAGCUUGCUGAGUUUGUGCGCCCAGAAAUUCGAGACUCCCUAAUUUUAUCGAUUGUGCAACAACUGGUGGAAGACCCUGCUGGAGUUGUUCGACAAGCUGCUGCUCAUAACCUGGCAUUGCUUCUUCCAUGCUUCCCAAAUGUGGACAAAUAUUUCAAGGUCAGCCUCACUAUUGCUCGAGGCAGUCCUGGAGCAGAAAAUUGACCUCACAAAAUUUGCUAAAAUGUAAGCUCUAGAGCAGGCAAUAUCACAGCCCCAGGAAAAAAAUGGGUUUGGGGGUUAUUCCCUGAUGUAUAACAAGUUGAAUGUUUUACGUAAAAAGUUCUAAUGUUACUUUUUUUGCUUUGUUAUAUAGGUUGAGGAGCUGAUGUUUCAGUUGGUCUGUGAUCCAUCAGGACUGGUAGUUGAGACAUGUCUCAAGGAGCUCGUUCCUUCCGUCAUUAAUUGGGGAAAGAACGUGGAUCACAUUGUACGGAUUUUGCUUUCUCAUCUCCUGGGCUCUGCUGAGGUGUGAUUUGAUCUUUUGCCCUUUUGCAAUUAAAUUUCAUAUUUACGUUCUCACAUAAAAGUGCUUCGCAGAGGUGUCCACCACUGUCAGGGGUUGAAGCUUCAGUGGACUCUCAUUUUCGUUUUCUAGGUGAACGUGAACGCUGGAAUAUUGAAGUUUUACUGCGCAUGUUGACUGAGGUUCUCCCUUUCAUUUAUGAGAAAGCAGUCAAAUCUUGCCCUUUUACGUCAUUUGUUGAGUCACUUUCCAGCUCUGAGCCAGAUAAAAUCUUUUUCUCUUACUCCUUGCUCGAGUUAUAUGCAGGGUGAGUCCUCGUUAUCAUUUUGGAAAGGAUCCAUAAUUUUCUUCCAACUGAAAUGGAGGUUCUACUGUUCUGAAGUUGUUUUCAAUUUGUACUUGUAGGGGGCAUGCUGACUGGCCCUUGUUUGAUUGGUUGCAUGCUGACUGUGUUCCUGAUUUAAUUCGAUUAUCAUGCUUCCUGCCUACAAGAGAAGACCGUCUCAGAGUUCAUAUGAGGAAGGUAAAUAUUUCUAUGCAGUGCUGAAACGUUUUCUACUCCAUCGUAUCUGCUUCUUCGAAAUUAGGAAUAUCAAAGGUGGGUAGAGAGGCUACGUUAAUAGGAUAGGGAAUGAUGAGUCUCUGAAAUCCUUGGACAUUUGACAUUGUGGAGAUAUAAUAAAUCAUAUGGCAGUCCCUGCUUUCAUAGUAAACCUUGGGGGUUGAAAACUCUUAAGCUUUUUGUUGCAGUUCCUUCUGGCUGUAUCUGAGAACUUUGGAGAUCAAUAUGUUAUACAUAUGCUGCUCCCUGUUUUCUUGGAAGCAAUGGGGGAUCAUGCUGAUCUCACUCUUUUCCCCAGCAGUAUACAGUCCAGAAUAAAAGGUAUGUCCCAUCCAUCUAUGGCAAUCUUAAUUGGUUCCAUGUGUCAUCAUGAUGGCCAAUAUCAAUAUAUUCUUUUCAACUUACUGUUUUUGAGGCUUUGGUGUCCAAUUUUAUUGAAUUUUAGCAAUUUUUCUUGCCAGUUCUCAUACUGCUUUCAACACAAUCGACCUCACCACGUAAAUUUUUGGAAUCUGCAUAUACUAUGGACCAUUGUGUGUCAAAAAAUGGAAAUUAUAUUGAAGUUCAUUCUAGCACAAGACAAAUGCUAUUUUGUUUAUCAUCUAGGCUUCUAGUUGCGAGUGGAAGGCAUUCCUAGCUGCUGGAAUAAAAUAACGAAUAGUAAUUUUUCUGCUUGCAGAUCUGCGGCCUAAAACAGCUGCCUCUGAAAGACUUUCAGUUUUGUGCGUCCUUCCGCUUAUGUUAGGUGGCGUUUUUGGUGUCCCAAGUAGACAUGAACAACUUGCACAGUACUUGAGAAAGCUACUAGUUCAAAACACAAUUGAAGGGAGUUCUUGGUCCUUAUACCACACUACAGACUUAAUUGAUGGUGUUCGUUUCCUCUGGUUGGUGCUUAUAUUUCUUUUGCACAUUGAUGCUGUUGUCUAUUGCGGGGUUUUCAUUUGUUUUGUUCUCUGAUGCAGCAUGUUUACUGAGCAUCAUGCCAUCAUCUUUAAUAUUCUUUGGGAAAUGGUUGUCAGCUCUAAUACAAAUAUGAAGAUUAGUGCUGUAUAUUUGCUGAAAAUCCUGGUUUGUUAUGUAUCUCUCAAUUCAUAACUGUUUCCAGGCUUUUCAAAAUGCCUCUUUAUUGAUAUAUCUCUAAUUUUUAAAACUAUAGGUUCCAUAUGUUGAUGUAAAAGUUGCUUCAACUCAUGUUUUGCCUGCUCUGGUUACUCUUGGUUCUGACCAAGAUAUUAACGUCAAGUAUGCAAGCAUCGAUGCAUUUGGAGUUGUUGCUCAGCAUUUCAAAAGUGACAUGGUAAGCUUUGUUUUAGAUUUUUUAUUCUUUAUAUGUGACAGUUUUUCUGUGAUCUCUAGACCUCCUUUUAACUCUGCUAGGGUUUCUUAGAGAAGAAGUCAGCUCAACGCUGUUGUAAGACCUCGUUCUUCAAGAUAGAGACAUUGCCCUACUUAAGUAGGUUCUUACAUGGAGAGGCCUAAAUGCUUAAUGGGUAUUAAGACCCAUUACCACCAGGCUAACGGAUCCUCACUUAAAUGUAACAGGGAUAUGAACAUUAGGAAAGAGAUAACGUCAUCUUCUAACAAUAUGAUUAAAGUAACGACACAUUUAAAACCAAAUGCAUGACUAUAAUCAAAAUAUCUUAUUCCAAUUCCAGUCAGGUUCAAAUGGGUUACACUGAUUCGGGGCUUCUUAUGCUCAUGUGUGUAUAAGUGCUUAAAUGCCUGUUUAUACUCUGAUUCAGGGGCCUCUUAUAGCGCAUAAAUGCCUCUUUAUACUCGUCUAUGUAUACUCAUGUAGAUAGAUUAAUGACAAUGAUAAAAGUAAAUGAUUCCAGUCAUAGAUGAAUGUGCGUUUUUAGAAUGUUAAUUAAUUAAAUCUUAUUGUUGUAAAAACAGAAAAAAAUAGUCCUGCACCAAUUAGACUUGUGUAUAGAGUUCGCUGGCAUGAGGUUGCUUUAUAUUCAAUUAAGACAUCUUAAUUAGAUUAUUUUUUUGAGUAUUGAUAUUGUUGUUGAAGCAAUUGAAAAUGAACAACUUCAUGUUCCCCCUUAGACACUGAUUUUUAGAGGCCAUAUGCUCAGCUACCAAUAUUUGUAUUACAUUCAUUAUUUAGGUUUAAUCAUUAUUAUUAUUUGAAUAAACAUUAAAUUUCAAUUUUUUAUAUCAUCUAUGUAAACAUUUUUUCUUGUUUAAAUAUUUUGAAUAUGAUACAUGGAAUUAUCCUCUUUGUCAAAAAUUCAAACUUACUAUAUUUUUUUAAAGCAUUCUGGAACAUUUAUUCUUAAUCAAUACAAGCCACCUCACAUCACACCUCAUAUAGUUGCUUCAAAGUUGACCACUACCUUGGGCACCUAAGAUAAAAAUGGCUGCUUUGAUGACGAACUGUACAACCUCUGGAUGGUUUUGAAGUUCAACUGGUCUUUGUCUGAAUUUGUUCAGUUGUAGGUCAGAAUUGAAGCUCAUUCUUUAUGUUAGACUAACUUGACCCUUCUUUCAGAUUGUAGAAAAGAUACGCAUUCAGAUGGAUGCCUUCCUUGAAGAUGGAUCUCAUGAAGCAACAAUUGCUGUUGUCCGUGCAUUGGCGCUUGCUGUACCACAUACGACAGAGAAAUUGCAAGACUAUAUCCCUCAUUAUUUUACUGUCAAUUCAUCGCGUUACUUUAUCUGGCCUUUAGGAUUCAUGAUAGAUAAUGACAUGUGCUUAUCUGAAUAGGCAUAAUUUUUUGUACACUUGACAUAGAAAGAAAAAGAUUUGGGGUCAUACCUAUGCCAGUACUACUUGGGCUGUUUUUUUUUUAUUUCAUUGCGUGUAUAUUGACACGGGGAGUAUGCAGGCAUGCUUGUCUUCAGUGUCUAUGCACUUUUUUCCUUUCAUUCUUUGUUUCUUUGACGUAUGACACAUCUCUUGUCGAAGAUAUUCCAGCUUACAAAUUCGCCAGUCCAGGGAAAUCUUUUGACGCAUCGGUGUGAGAGAGCAAACGCAUUUUGUGAGUCACUUCGUGCUCUGGAUGCUACAGGUUAGUUAUGAACAUUAACCCAAUCUUUUAUAUAAACCCAAUCAUGUCUUAUUACAGUUGCGAGAGAUUAUUCAAAUUAGGCAUUUUAUAUGUUUGUGUUUGUUCUAUAGCCGCUAUUCUGUCAUAUGGUGGAAUACAUGGAUUGCUAACAUUAAUAUAUGGGUGCGGCCCUGAUAUUCAGGAAAUUGUCAACGAAGGCAUUUUUCAUCCUUCUCACUUUGAGCGUUUUCAGUUCGAAAAUCUUUAUGCGGGAUGAGGAAGCAAAAGGGGACGAAGGAAAGGAAGAGGAAUAAAUAAAAAAUUGAACAGAGUAGGACAUAACUUUCAAGGAAUGUUUUUUUUCUCCAGGGCACAAAUUCUGCUCUUUUUCCGCUUUUUCUGUGUUUGAAAAACUUUAUUUCAUUAAUGAUACACACUAAUACAGAGAGUAAAAUUUUCUAUACCCUCAUCUUAUAAGAUGUCAAGAAAGGUGAGGGCAAAAUUCCAAGGCAGAAUCACGAGGCCUUAUUUGUAUAAUACAUAUAUUUAUGCAGUCCACCUAAACUCUGGAAAUGCCUGGGAGGCCAAGAGUAUCUCUGCACUUUCAGAGAGUCAGGAACUGCUAUAGGGUUUGUUGCAGUUUCCCAAUCCAUCAUGAGAUAUUUUAGUUCUACACUUCUUUCCUUGAAAUUCUUCUGAAAUGUUGAGGGAGUUCAUUGUUUCGCUAAUUCUAACCUGUUGUGUGUUGUGAAAAAGAUGAUGGAUUUUGAGGGAGAAAUUUCAUUUACAACGGGUGUCGUUUUUAUCUGGUUUAUAUGAUCUCACUUAACGAACUUCCUACGCUGCCCCAACUCUUCAAAGCCAUUUUAUAAAAUAUCAAAGUUUAACCAGGCUCACUCUUGUAUUUCUCCAAAUCUUAUAUCUCGUUAGCAGAUUCAUUCCGUUUCUAGUUUUAUCACGUUGCCUUUGUUCAGUUCUGGGAGAGCUCCCCUCAGCGCACCAAAGGAGCUUCUUUCCCGGCAGUUUGGAGAUCAAGAGAAGCAUAUGUAUCAUGAUUCUAUCGAAUGCUUUUGUAUUGGAAGAAAUGUGAAACUUCUGACCAGUGGAGCGGAGUUACAUAACUUCUAUAAACUUGACUGGCGGAUUUGAACAGGGCCUGUCUGGGGUAAAUGACCCAUCAAUUAGAGGAGGAAAGAAUGGAAGAUUGACUGAUCCUAGUGUGCUCGAGGGAAGUUUGACGCGAUUACCAAUGUUGAGUAAAUAUUAGGAGAAGCCAGACGGAAUGAGGAAUUCACUGCAUUCAUUGCAGCAGUGGCUCCUGUUAACACCUUCUUGGACUUGCAACGACGAGUUCACAUCAGUUGUCAUCAGGUUGUGCGUAGAAGAAUUAGUGGACAACUCUUAAUGCACCAUCAUUUGUUGUUUUUCAGUUCGUUUGAAAGAUAAAACUGAACAGCUUUGCUCCCACUGAAUUCAGCCGGCCACGUUUGGCCACUCUUAAUUCAGAUCGGAAAGGAUUGCGUCUGCUGAGUGGUAGGAUCAUUACCAAUGCUAGAUGCCGAUUGUUCCCCACACCUGUGUCAGAUGAUAUGCAUUUUUCAUUGAAAACGAGCUAUGCCAACAGAAGGAGCGUAUCUUAGAGUUGAGUGGCGUUGAAUGGCAGCAGAGGGCUAUCAGGAGUUUCUUUGGGAGAGUAUAGUCAUAAGCUAUGGUCUGCAUAAUCAUCCACGUCUAGAUCAUAAUAGAUUUGAGAAAAUUGGGUCAUGAACUGUUACAAUGAGGUGCCAUAGACUAAUGAAAAAUGAUGGUGUUGAUAGUUGAGAAGAAGGCAUUUUACUUGAUGAGAAACUGGAGCAUUACAGGAAAGUUUUCGCAGCAGAAUGGGGAAUCAUAGCUUCUGUUAAUGACUGAUGAGUGCAUUAAAAGUCAAUUGGAAGUUAGCUGAAAAAGGGGGAAGGAGGCAAGAGUGGGGGAAAAGCUUAUAGCUUCAUAAAUGAGAAAAUAAGACUUUUGGUUAAACAUAUGGUACCAAAGCUUCAAGGGAUGCGGAUCUGUUGUGCCUCUUUAAAUCGUACCAAAUUACCGAAAACAUCAUUAGGUAGAUCACUCGUCAGGGGCAGCCAAGUCUCACCGAGGAAGUAAAAACGGAUGAUAAUCGAAUCGAAGAAGACGACAGCUUGGAGUAGAUAGUGUAGUUUUAUUCCAAAACCCAUCCUGGGGCUCUAUUCUAAACUCCUCUCACUUGACGACAUCUGGAGACUUUCACUAGAAAUUGUGUUAACCGCUUCAUCUAGUGAGAAGCCUAGUGAAGCUUUUCAAUUCAUCUAGUGUUCCCUUUUGAUGAGGUGAGGGCUACUCGCUUUACUUUGUUGGAAGACGAGCUCACUCAGAUGGUUUCUCGCCUAUUUUAUUUCAAGGAUUCAGGGACAUUGUGAAGGAACACGUUGCAGAACUUUGUCAGAAUUCUCCAUAGGUAAGGCUCACUUUCAGAAACUACUUUGGUGUUGUUGAUCCUGAAGAAAGAAGGCUUACAGAAACUUCUUGACAGCAACAUAGGGUUAGCCCUUGUCUUUUUUUUAGGUGCCUUGCAUUUUUGGCUUCAGCGAUCUGGGAAUGCUAAAAUAUUUAUGCUGGUCAUGAUCUUGGAAUGCAAAUAGAACUGGUAAAGUUACGAAAAGCUUUUUACUUUGUUAUAAUAGGAUGUGAUAAACGUCAAAAAGUAAGUAAUAAAAAAAAAAAGGUAAAGAAAGGAUCUUGAUUGCUGGUACUGUACCGAAAUAUUUUGAUAGGAAUUAAAUAUAGCAUCUCACCACCUUGCGAAAAUAAAGAGCGAAUGUAGUGGUCCAAAUAAACCAAGGAAAAGUUUCACCUUUGUUUUGACGGCAUCCAUUUACAGGCGAUCGUUUGGAAAAUGUGCUCUGUUGUGCGGUGAUUGACGCUGGGGAAUAUGAUGUAUGUUCCUUAUUUCUUCACUAUCCGAGGCAUUUGGCUGAGAAUCUGGGGGGCAUUCUGAUUUGCUGUUCUCACCUAUGCUUCGUCUUCUGCUGAUCUGCCUCCACAUGCUUCGAUUCGAUUUGAGCCCAGAACCCACAGCCCAGCAUCUCUAAAUUCUUAUGCAGUCUGAGAAUUCCCCAUGUUCUUCUUCUUCUCCAUGGCUUUCCCAUUCGCUAGGUUGUGUGUCUUAAGGUUGCCAGACCGUGGUAAAACCCUCUGGAUGACUCUAACAGCAGCACUUUCCUGGUAACGAGAAAGGCCGAGCUACUUCGUUUCCAUUCUUCUUCCCCACGGAUUUUCCGAAUUCGCCAGAUUAUGUGUUCAUCGGGAGAAUCAUAGAACAGCGUAAUCAUCCGUAUCGCUCUGGCGGCAGCAGCAACUUCCUGGUGAAGACAGGAUGAUGAGGCUUCCUUCCGUGAAUCAUAUUUCUGUGAUUCGGCCUAGAUUGCUCGGAUGGGUCAACCAGUGAGACAGACUGCAGAUUUUAUGGAUCUCUGAUGAAAUCCGCGUGGCGGCACUGACCCUGCUGCUGUUUUCUCGUGCAGAUCUUCCCUCCACCAGCGUCCGAGAGCUCCUGCUGCCGGCCAUACAGAACCUGCUCAAGGACCCGGAGGCGCUGGACCCGGCGCACAAGGAGGCCCUGGAGGUGAUCGUCAGGGAGAGGUCCGGGGGGACCCUGGAAGCCAUCAGCAAAGCGAUGGGCGCUCAUCUCGGCAUCGCCUCCUCGGUCAGCAGCUUCUUCGGCGAGGGCGGGCUACUGGGGAAGAAGGACGCCGGCGAGGCCCACGACGGCGCCGUCUCGCCGCAGGCGGCGGCGCCGCUGCCGCCCGUCGCCCAGGAGGACACGAGGUUCCGGAGGAUCAUGAGGGGCAACUUCGGGGACAUGCUGCGACCCAAGCCCAAGAGCCAAGACGAGGCGCCUCAGGGUUAGUCCCCUGCCACCUUCCACUUCGGUUUCUACACAUUCUCAAGACACUUCCUUUCCAAGUGCUCCCUUCCCUUUUCUGUUGAUCGAGAGAGAGAGAGAGAGAGAGAGAUGAGGUGGGUGGUGGCAUCGACAUGAGAGGAGAAAUGGGCAAUGGGUUCCGAGCACAGGGACGUAGCUUCUCAUUCUAGCAUGAUUUUGAAGCCCUCUCCAGGCGAAAUCAUGUUGGGUCUGGGUGGGUGAAGCCAGCCCACUCUAGUCUCUGCUAUUGAUGUUGAAUGAUCAUGCUGAGUUCAUCCGGUUGAAGAAACCCAUGAGGAUCAGCAUCGCAUUAGACUUAGAACAGUGAUUAUGAAUGCAGAAGCCAUUCCAUCAUGAUGUAAGAAAAUCGUAUGCUUUUAUGCAGAGGGUAGAUUUUGAGUGCUGGUCAUAGGAACCGUCACUACUACAGAUAUCAAAUACAAUUGAGCUUUUGCCUUCACUUAUGUUUUUUAUGUAAAAAACGUGUGAUUAUUCAUCAUAUAAAAUAUGAUUUAUGCUCUCUGGUAAAAACUCAUUUUUUGGCUUGCUCUAAAAGCGUAGUACUGAACCCUAGCAACUCGGCUGUCAUUGAUCCUCCAAGAGGAGAAUUGGUUUCCGUGAUCCAUUGUUUGUUUAGCGAAAGAACAUUGUUUAUCUAUUCUUGAAAAUAGCUACCAACUUCCUUUAGUAGAGGGUUGUUGGAGCAUUCUACAAAAGGAUAUUCCACAGCAGAGAUAGUACCCUAUGAAGAGCUGGUUCCUAAUUAUUCAAGGCUAAGGUGUCCUCAGAAGAGCUGCUAAGGGCUUCUACAAUGGCCUUGGCCGUAUUGAAUAAUAUGGAGCAAUUCAUUACUACUUGGCUUCGAGCUGCAGAGAGAACCUUUGACCUCUUGAGCUGAUUUGAUGGUUGAUGUUUUCCAAUUGAAAUUCAUAACUGUCCUUGAAAAAUCUUUCUAAAAAAUAAUGGUUCCUAGAUAGCAUUUGAAAUUACUAAAAAAUAUUACAAUAUGUAUGAUGGUUUUAUCAAUGUUGAUGGUUUUGUUGUAUGAAGCUGAUGGUAGCUAUCUUAUUGUUCAUUUUAUUUAGAAAAUAAAAUCAAAAUAUAGUCUUAUAAACUACCUGUUGGGUGUUCCUAGAUAAUCAUUAG